CUGGUAUGACUCUCUUGAUUAAAGCAUUUUCUUAUUUCACGGGUAAUGAUAGAGAGACAAUUCUAAUCCUACCUCAACCCCACACGAAGGCAAAUAAAAACUUGAAAUAUUUUAACAAAAUACUCUUAAAGUUAUAGGCUACAUUCGGUAUUAUUGUGCUAUGGUAUUGUGGAGGAAAUGCAACAAUUGUCGUAAAAUAAAAACUCCAACUGCAAGGUAUGAUUAUUUUGAACUAAAUGAAAAAUUUAACAAAAACAAUAAAAGUACUACAGGGUUUUCAUUAACAAUUGUGUAAUAAAAUCAUCGUAAUUUCUAAAUAAGAUCCUUAAAUCUUUUGUUAAUGUUAGGUCAUGUAGAGUUAUUUGGCCCCAAUAUGUAGGCUUACGCUAUACUAUUUAUUACUGACCACUUUUGCAGGCUCUCAUAUUAGCGGCAUCAGACACCUCGAAAAUAACAUUAACAUGGAUUUUAUCUUUACUUCUCAACCACCGUGAUGUUUUAAAGAAAGCUCAAAAUGAACUAGACGUUCAUAUUGGUAAAAGAAGACAAGUGAAUGAAUUAGACAUAAAAAAUUUGGUUUAUCUCCAAGCAAUUAUCAAGGAGGCAAUGCGUCUUUACCCCGCCGGACCACUUGCAGCCCCGCAUGCGUCUACGGAGGAUUGCACUGUCAAUGACUACUUUGUGCCAGCAGGCACUGUACUAUAUGUUAACGUUUGGAAGAUUCAUCGCGAUCCACGAGUUUGGCCAGAACCUUAUAAGUUUAAACCUGAGAGAUUUCUUACCACCCACAAACAUAUUGAUGUUCGUGGCCAGAAUUUCGAACUGUUACCGUUUAGUAGUGGCAGAAGAAUGUGCCCUGGACCCUCAUUUGCCAUCCCAGUUACGCACCUUACACUUGCUACUUUGUUACAUGGGUUUGAUUUUGAAACCCCGUUGGAUGAACCAGUUGAUAUGAGUGAGGGAAUGAGCUUGACUCUGGUUAAAACCACUCCCGUUAAAGUACUCAUCACUCCACGUCUUUCCGCAUCGCUAUAUGGCUAAAUUGGUUUUUGUUAAGGAAGCACACUAUGCAGAGAAGGAGAAGGAGAAACUUAACCUGAGAAAGGUUAACAAGCCUAUCACAUCAGAUCACAGUAAGCAAAGUGAGAGCUCCGCCGACAACUCAGCAUAAGUUGUUAAAAUCUGUUACUGAAGUUUAGUUUGUAAUAUUAGUAGUUAGUUGUGGGUUAUUACAAUAAUAAUGCUUAAGAAAUGUGUAUAAACUGUAUGUCACUGUAACAUUUGGGUUAAGCAAUAAAAGUACAGAGUUGAAAAAUAUUCUCUGAGAUAUUUUCUCAGCAACGACACAACUCCACUUCCAUUUCAUGUUUAUGGUAUCAGAGCCAAAUAUGGCUAGUUCAAGCAGUACAAACAUCAAAUCCAAAUCCAACACAUACAUAUCAAUCUUCACAGAUUUCAUUUUCAUUUACUACUCCAGUCAAGCUAGAUCGAUUCAAUUUUUAACUCUGGCGAAAACAUGUUCGUACUUCAAUAAGAGAAAAUCGGCUUGAAGAUUUCAUAUCUAAUGCUCAGAUUACACUAGAACAUUACAUUUCUUACAUGCUCUUCUCGGUUGGCUAUUGUCCUCCAUUAGUGAAGGUAUUUUGAGCUCUAUUCUUCACUGUGGUAAUUUGUAUGAUGUAUGGAAGUCUACUGAGAGACAAUUUAGAGCUGAAUCUGAAGCUAAAAUAAUGUAACUUCAAUAUGAGAAAAAUAUGCUUUAAAAGGAAUCCAUGUCUAUUAAGAAUAUUAAUGCAAGUUUUGAAUGGACAUGGACUUAGAUAUUUAUGACACGUUUGCUUUUAAGAAAUGUAAGGAGAAGAGAGGAGAAAAAAGGAGAUGGGAAAGAAAUAAGAGGACAAAAAUAAAUUUUAUAUCCAACUAAGUAAUGAAAAUGAAAUUGACUCUCUUUUCCACUCAUUUUCUGUCCCUCUCUUUCCUUUCAAUUCCUCUUCUCUUCCACCAUUUCUUCCAACCAAACACAAGCUUAGAUCUUCCUUCAGUCAUUACGGAUAAUAAAAUGACAUAUGAUGAUGGAUAUGCUAUGCAUUACUCUUGACACAUGAGGCUCAAUGGGAACAAAACUAGAGUGCUAAAUUUGUGUUUAAUGCAAAUUAUGGAAUAGUGAACUCUAAAAUUAUUUUCAAGUUAGGGGUAAUAGUAGAAAAGAAGUAUAUGGAUAUAGUGGAUAUUAGGGACACUUUAAUGCUAGGAAUAGAAAUCACAAUAUUAAAAGAGGAAUGAAUGCUAUAUCAUACAUAUCUCAGAGGUUUUCCUACUGGUAGUAGAAGACAAUCAAUAUAGUUGCAAUAUUAUUGGACAACAUCACAUAAUAAAUGUCAUGACCCAACCCAGACUUGGCAAGAUAUUGCACUUUGAGGCUUAACAAGGCCCGCAAGAUUUUGUUCCUGGAGCGCCCAUACACCCCAAAAUGCAUUUUGCCAAUUAAGGUGUGGAUCAUCUCUCAUAAACUCAGCAUCUCUCCUGUGCUUUGCCGAUGUGGGAUUCAUCUAGGGUUUUACAUACACCCUCUUAGGAACUCAACGUCUUCGUUGAAGUUUGCCCAACCAUCGCUCAAGAGAACAAGCGGAGCUGCUUUGAUACAAUCUAUCAUGACCCAACCCAAACCUGACAAGAUAUUGUCCGCUUUGGGCCUUAACAAGUCUCGCGCGGUUUUGUUUUCUGGGGCGCUCAUACACCCCAAGACAUGUUUUAGAGUAUACCAAAAUGUCAUCAAUGAAGACAAUGACGAAACGGUCAAGGAAAGGCUGGAAGACCCUAUUUAUCAAGUCCAUAAAAGCUACAGAAGCAUUGGUUAACCCGAAGGGCAUCACAAGGAACUCAUAGUGCCCAUAUCGAGUUUUAAAGGUUGUCUUGGGUACAUCUUCACCUUUGACCUUAAGCUGAUGAUACCUAGACCGUAAAUCAAUCUUCGAGAAUACCAAUGGACCUUGCAACUGAUCAAAAAGAUCAUCUAUACGGGAAAGAGGAUAUCUAUUCUUGAUGGUAAUCGAGUUCAGCUGUCGAUAAUCAAUGUAUAACCUCAUAGAGCCAUUUUUCUUCUUCAUAGACAUCACAAGUGCUCCCCAAGGAGACGCAUUAGGACAGAUAAAGCCCUUAUCAAAAAGUUCUUGCAGUUGAACUUUCAAUUCGUUUAACUUAAUAGACGUCAUGCGAUAAGGUGUUUUUGAGAUAGUUGCAAUGCCCGACAACAAGUCUAUCGAGAAUUCAAUCUCUGAUUAGGAGGCAAACCAGACAAAUCCUCUGGAAACACAUUAGGAAACUCCUUAACAACAUUAUUGUUUCAAAGAGAAACCUCAUCAUUCUCAUUAGCCACUAUACAAGCUAAAAAUGCCUCACACCUUUUUGCCAACAUCUUUCUAGCUUUAAGUGCAAAUAUCAAUCCUCCACAACUACUCUAUCUGCCUUGAAACCAAAAUUCCUUCUCUCCAAGAACUAUAAACACAAUCUCUUUAGAGAUGCGUCUUACAAAUUAAGGUAUGGAUCACCCUUUAUAAACCCAGCAUCUCUCACGUACUUUCCCGAUAUGAGAUUUGCUUAGGGUGUGUUAUACACACCCCUUUUGGGGACUCAGCGUCCUCACUGAGGUUUGCCCUACCAUUGCUCAAGAGGACACGUGGAGCCGCUUUGAUACCAUAUGUCAUAACCCAACCCAGACCUGGCAAGAUAUUGUCUGCUUUAGGCCUUAAAAAAGCCUAUACAAUUUUGUUCCUAGGGCAUCCAUACACCCCAAAAUGCGUCUUGCCAAUUAAAGUGUGGAUCACCGCUUAAAAAUCUAGCAUCUCUCCCAUGUUUUGCCGAUGUGAAAUUCGCCUAGGGUGUUAGAUACACCCCCUUAGGGACUCAUCGUCCUUAUCAAGGUUUUCCCUAUCAUCGCUUAAGAGGACAUGCGGAACCACUUUGAUAUCAUAAUGUCAUGACCUGACCUAAACCUGGCAAGAUAUUGUUUGUUUUCGGCCUUAACAAGGCCCGCACGGUUUUGUUCUUAGGGAGCCUAUACACCCCACAAUGCGUCUUGUAGAUUAAGGUGUGGAUCAUCCGUUAUAAACUCAGCAGCUCUCUCGUAUUUUGCCGAUUUGGGAUUCACCUAGGGUGUUACAAUAAACAUGUUUCCAAUAUGUCUCAUGGUCAAGCCUCAAUACCUAAUGGAGACAGCUCUAAUGACAAUGUCCUUAUAUGCCAUAAAUCUAGUCAUACUUUACAUUGAAAACUAUAUACCUCAAUCAAGGCAUUUUGAGAGGGACAAUAUCAAAAUAUGCUUUUAUGGCUAGUUUUGAGCCAUAUGCUAGAUUUAUACCAUAUUUUGAUGACUCUUAUGCUAUGAGUUGUUCCAACUAUCAAUGCCAUACUCAUUAAUGCGACACUAUACAACUGAAAUUUUCUUUACGCUUGGAAUUGCUUAUAAUACUAACUUUAAACGACCUGCUAAUGAUGGAUAGUUUCUUAACAGUAGAGCAACGCAUCACUUAACCAACAACAUGGCUAAUAUGAAUGUCGGAGAAGAAUUCAAUGGCUCACAUCAACUCAUCAUUAGGAAUGGAUAAUGUUUUGUAACUCAUGUGUAUAAAUUGAUUUUAGACAUGGUUAUUGUGAACUUAAUACUUUCGUUUUUCUAUCAUCACAUGAUUAUUUCACAUUUUAGCAUUGUCACUUGAAUUUCAUUAUUUGCUUCCAAAGCAUGGCUAAUAUGAAUCAAGUUUACCUAUAACUAUUGAAAGGAAAAUAUUUGACAGCUAGCUAACCACUACUUUUCUAUGAUGUUUUAAUAAUAUAGGGAUUAUGAUCCUCUCCUGAUCUUUUACAAAUCUUGUGUUACCUAUAUUUAGUGUUAGUGUAUGAUUGAGAUUUAACUACUUUUAUUUUUUUCAUUUAUUAACUACCAAUUACGUUAAUAAAAUUUAUUCAGAGGACGAUCAUAUCAAGAGAGGAUCUUGAUCCAUAGUACAGUUCUAUUUUAUAUUUAUAAUCAGAAUUCCGAAGAGAUUUGCCUUGAUAUACAUAGUCCAUCUAAAGUUCAACCUAAAAUUUUAAUACAAAAAAGGCGGAGAGGCAUUCACAUAUCGCAUCUUUAGAGGAGCUUAAUUAUGGCAUUAUCGGUGCAUGUUUCGAGAGAUAGAUUAAUGUUAUCCAGAUGCAUAAUACCAAAAUAUUUUACACUAAGCUUAGUCUUAAUUCGUAGCCCAUGACCCACUUCGCUUGGAGAGCUUGGUAAAAACUGCUCUCAAAUGACAUUAUUUAGGCCUUCAACACGUUACGCUCUCGGCAUUCACCAACUGAACUGUCAGGUUUUUCCUGCUUCAUCCGAAUCAUGCUGUAAAUUACAAAAUUAAUUUUACUUUCUAAACAAGAUAAUGCACGAUAACCUCUAUUGCAAUCAACUCAUUAAUCCAAAUAAAGGCAAACUCUAUGAACAUUCGAAGAAACAAUCGACUUACAUUGUUUGCACACUCACCAUAAAAUUUAGAUCUCAUACAUUGACACGGGCUUCAUAAACUGAAUGACAUAAGGGCCACAAUCAUAUCCACUCGGUUGUCUUGGAAGCGUUGUAUGUUGCAUCACACGAAAGAGAGAUUCUAAGGUACCUUUAUUGUGCAACACCCACUUAAUGAAUGUAUAAAAUGUGAACAUUUGUUUUAAAAAAUCAUCAUGUAAUUUGUGGUUAUAUUUAAUCCAAGCACAAAUGCAAUAUAUACAUUUAGUGGAUAUAAUACAACAAAGGUACUUUAGAAUCUCUCCACAAGAAAACUCUUAAAACUGAGACCUCCGAGUACAAGCCUUAGACAAACCUUCAAAACCUCAUCAAGCGCCCUCAAUCGCAACUACACAAUUUUCUUAUGCAACAACUUAAGUUAAGAAGUCUAUACUUUGGUUAAACAAACAGUAAACCGAAGAUCCAUUCUACUCACCAUUUUUUUUUCUUUUGUUGCUUCUCUAACUAAAGCAACUUUUCUCUGUCACUUGGUAGCAGAUACCAUAUCAUAGCACAAUUGCCUAGUAUGUCCACAAUAAUAACAUAACAGUGUGUGCCCCAUGAUUUAUUGGAAUAAAAAUAUGUUCAGAGAGCUAGCAAUUAUAAACAUACCUUCUCACACAAUUGCAAGUUAUAUGCAUAUACAAGUCUAUCAUCUGUGUUCCCAUUUCUAGGCUCUUGAUAUCACAUUUUUCAUGCAAAACUUCUGUUGAGUAGUAUAUGCAUAACUUGGAAUUGUGUGAGAAGAUAGUUUAUAAUUGGAGAAGUUAUAAAGAAACAAAGAAAAAUCAUCAUAGCUUAACAAACCAAAAUAACUCAUCAACAAAAGCCUCCAAAUCAUUCACACUUUUUCAUUUUCCUAACCUUUCGUCAAUAUAUACAGUCAUCAUGUAUCUAAUCAACUUCAUCUCGUCACCAGACACAGGUUACUGCACCACAAAAGGCCCUACCCUAAAACCACCAAAACCACUUAAAUGAGCCAAUGGCCUUUUCUUCUCAAUUGGUGGUCUGUUGGCAGCCCCUUUAGCUUCUUCGCAGCCUUAUUCAAUGGACUCUUGCCGGUCAACGACACGCAGGUUUUCUUGUGCACCCGCAAAUCCUGCAUUGUUCAACAAGACAAUAGAUACAUCCGUCAAUACACUAUCACUACAUGUAUACUCAUUUAAUAAAAUUUAACAACCUUUCAUCACCUUGAUGUGUUCAAGAAUCUUAAUGGAGCUGGGAGUACAGCUUGGCGACAUCUACAUCCCAUGCUCUGCCCUCUUUGCAACUCUGUUUCUCUUUAGCAUUUCUAGUUACAACUUCACUACUUUCUCCACAUUCUCUAUGACCUCGUAUUCUUUUCUAAAGCAACCGCAACCUGCAUUAACCACAUUCUUAAUGAUCAUCACUUUAACAAAGGGAAAAAAAAUUUAUGUACAUUAUGGUGUAAUGCAAUAAGUUGUAAUGUAAUACAAUAUUGGUGUACUGUAUUAUAUAUAAUACUAUUUUGUAUUAAAAGUAAAUUAGUACUAUUUAAAUUUAUUAUAUCUUAGUGUUAUAUAAUUAAUUUUUGAAAUUAAUUAUAAAUUAAUUAUUUUUUACGUAUUAAUUUUUAUAACAUAAGAAUAAUUUAAUUAUAUACUAUUAUCAAAUAAUAUAAUAUUAUAAAUGUCAAUAAAAUAAAAAAUAAAAAUAAAAUAAUACAAUACAAUAUUUUAAAAUUUCAAUUUAAUUAUAAUUAAUUUUUAUUUAUUAAUGUCAAAUAUAAUUAUUAAUUUAUUUUUAAAUUUUGUUAUUUUAUUAAAUAAAAAAUGAUUAAAUAAUUAAAAUAAUGUUAAAAGUAAAAUAUUGUAUUAUCAUUUAUAUUUUAUAUUAUUAUUUAAAUUAAAAUUUAUUUAAUAUAAGUAUAAUUGAUAUUAAUAAAUUUAAAUUUAUUAUAAAUUAUUAAUAAUAAAAGUAAAAUAAAUAUUUUUUAAUGCAAUGCAUCAUAAACCCUACUCUCCCAUGGGAUUAUUUUAUGUCUUUUCAUUGUAUCAACAGCCUUUUAAUACAGUGCAAUGCAACUAAAAAUUAUAGUUAAACAUGGGUUUAUAUGAGAAGAAUGUUUUAAUAUAAUACGAUACAAUAUAAUAUGAGCUGCCAAACGCACUCCAAACUCAAUAAAGAAGUACAGCAAAGCAAAACGAAGGUAGAGAAAGAAAUUAUUAAUUUGAAAAAGAAAUAAACUAACAAAUGAGAGAAAUGAGAAAAACUACUUUAAAUGGAAGGAGAUUGUUAGGUUUUCUCUUAUUGUAAUCAAUAUUCAUUACUUAUGCUCCUACUAAAAACAAUAAAUUGUGUCAGUAAGAAUUAAAAAUGAAUAAUAAGAUAUUUUUCUUAAUAGUUUUGUUAUUUUUAAAUAUUUUUCUUAUAAUAAAUAAUUUUAUAUUUUCAAGAUAAAUUAGAUUUUUUUGUACGAAGGGGUUUUUAGAUAUUAUGUAAACAAGUGUAGGAUAAAUGAUAUAUAUUGAUUUCAGUAAGAGGGAAAGCCAAAGUAAGUAUUUUAGAAACUUAAAAGAGCCUUUUAACACAAUCAAAAUGAUAAAUGCGCCACUCCUACAAAGCAAAUUUUUAAUAACCCAUCCAAGUAACUCCCCUUUGUUAAGCCAUCUACAAUCUUCAUAUCUUGUUUGUUCUAAUAUCUCCUUCGCCAACCAUUUCGUAAACUUCUUAUGUUGCAUUUAUUUACCGGAUUAGUAAAUUAGAAUCCGGAAUCGAAAUCAUUGACAUAGUUUACUUUGCAAAAUAGAGUCAAAAAUUGGAAUCAGAAUCAUGGGGCCCCCAAAAAUUUGGGAAUGAGGAAUGGGAGACUCAUCCCCAAGGAGGAGGUUAGGAAUGAGUUUCCUAUUUGCAGGAUUGACCAUUUUGCUCUCCCCCAAAAUUAAAAAUACCCACUUUGUCCUCAUUUAUAAUUAAUUAAUAUAUUAUUAUACUUAAUUAAUUAAUUAAUUAAUAUAUUAUAAUUAAAUAAUAUUUUUAAUAUAUUAUUAACAAUAAUUAUGAAUAAUUAUAGUUUUUGAAUAAAUAAUCACAAUAAUUAAUAUAUUAUAAUUAUAAUUAAUUUAUCUAUUAUUAUUAAUUAAUUAAUUAAUUAAUAUAAUUAUUACUAUUAAUUUAUUUAUUAAUAAUUAUGGUUCUUGAAUAUAAAUUGAAAAAAAUUAAAAAAUUAUUAUUAUUAUGGAAUUCAGUUAUUGUUGUUGUUAAUUAUUUUUAUGUUAAUUAUUAUUUAGGUUAUUAUAAAAUUUAUUUUUUUUUGUUGUUAUUAUUAUUAAUUUUAAUUACUACUAUUAUUUAUUUAUUAUUUUAAUUAUUAGCAUCGUCGUCGUCGUCGUCAUCAUCAUUAUUAUCAUCAUCAUCAUCAUCAUCAUCAAAUGAAAAUAAUUAACAAAGGGCAUUUUAAUAACUUGAAACAAUUCAGUUUAUUCGGAUUCUGAUUCCAAGAUAAAAUAAAUACAUUAAUGGGAUUCCAACUCAUUCACAUUCCGAUUAUUGCAACUUAAGCAAAUAAUUUAUUUUGAUUCUCAUUCUCUAUUCAUAUUCCAACUCAUUCCUAUUUCAGCCAAUUCCAAUUCGAGUCCAUUCUUAUUACUGACAAGUAAAUGCAGCAUUAAUCUUGCUCGCAUUCCAAAGAACAACAUGACACAUCAAUGGGUGUUUUAACAUUUUCCAAUGCAUCACAAAAUUAAUUUGCAUGCGUAUGCAUUGAUCAUUAUAUUACUACGCCGUUACGUAUCAUUGACCCACCAUACAAGCUCUUAAUAAAUAAAUACAUGCAUAAUUGACUACCAUCCACAAAUUUCAACAUACAACAAUAUUAUACGAUAAGUUUUUUCUUAAUAAUCAGGAUAAAGGAUUACAUUAGAGAGACAAGGCUAGCCCAUUCAUUAGACCUCGUACCUGCAAAUGUAGUAAGCAUCCACCUACAUAUGCUAGUUUUUCUUGCUUGUAUCUUGUUAUCCCUUGCAUAAGCCUACUAAAGCAAAAGGUUACCCAAAUAAUUGCACAUGCAUUCCUCUGACUGAAAUUCCCAUCGUAUACCCAAAAUUUUGUGCACUGCUCCAACUCUCUUCUAUGAACAGAUAAAGUAUAACUUGUAGUAUCAACACUAUCUAUCAGCCAAUGACGUAGCCAAACACAAUUCUAUUCAAAAGGCUUACCAAAUUAUAGGAAGUGCACGACUGCUCUUUAUUCUGCCGUUAAGUUGGUUGCCAUUGUUGCAAAUCGCUUUGGCACAUACCUCAACACAAACUUCAGCUUCUUGCCAUUAAGGCAUUGUUUACUAUUGAGGUUGGGCAGAUGUAGCUUAAAAGUUAUAACACUUAAGUGUUCUAUAAGCACUUACUACUGAGGAAGCUAAGUUGAUUGAUCCCACACAUAUAUAAUGAAAAACCUAUAAUAUCUUUACUAUUUUUGUCAAAACUAUUAUCUAAAAAUCAUAUUUAUUGCACACAAUCAAUUUACAUUUCAUAGUUACAGCUUUUUUCUACAGUAGUUUUGAUUUAAAAGUUAAAAUGCCUCAAUACCAAACAAUGCAAGGCGGUGCUCAUUGGCUUUUGUUGAUGUGUUUGCACUCUUCUUUGUUCUUAAACUCGAAUCCAAUUUCCUUUAAAUAAAAAUUUAAAUAAAAGUAUUAAACAUAAGUCUGGACGUGAAUAAAAAAAAUAGUUUCUUAUAGUUUUUAGAAUUUUAAAUAAUUUUUCUUAUAAUAAAAUAUAUUUUAUAUUCUUAAGAUAAAAUAUAUUUUAUAUUCUUAUCAAGAAAAAUGGCCUAUUUUUAUCUCUUUUCCUUUAAAUUUUUUUUGCAGCUUUAGAUAUUAUGAAAAUGGUAGAGUGUAAGUGAUAAGUAUUGAUUUUUAGUAGGGGAAAAACUAGCAAUCUCAUUAUUUCAUAUACAAAAGUUGUAGGAAAAAAUAUUACAAUACUAUUUGAAAUUAACUUUAGUGAUGCUAUUAAUUUAGUAGAUUGUUCCAGGUUAGGACAAUAUUUUAUUAUUUUUAAUAAAUUUAAUAAUUUAUAACAUUGGUCCUCAUAUAUCUAAAAGACGUUUUUGGGUCCUUUUGGGAAAAAAAUUUGUUGGGGACAAAUAGAAAAGUUUCUUCAAGUUGGCAAACAAUAUUGGUUGUAGCUAUCUAAUUAGUUGGAUUGCAAGAAACAAAAUCAAAACCAUACAAUUUUAAUAAUACCAUGUUUAAUAUAUUUGUAAAAGGUCAGCAUAGAUAAUGAGAAGAAAAACAAAUAGAAGAUCUUUAACUCUUUCAAUAAGCUUUAAUUAUGGCAUGUCAGGGCAAGUUUUGAAAGCUAGAUUAAUGUGAUCCAGAUGCAUGCGGAUAACAAAAUUUUGUAAAAUGUGUAUACUUGUAGUGGCAAUGUAUUGAUGGAUGUAUUAUAUUAUUGAACAAUGCAAGAUUCGAAGAUGUAUAAGAAAAUAGGUGUGUCAUCAACAGGCAAGAGUCCAAUGAAGGAGGUUGCGGAGAUGUUGGUGGGGUUGGCCAGUAGUCCACCAAUAAAUGAGACAAGACCAUGUAUUCAUUUUAGCAGUUUUAGGGUUGGGCCAUUUAUGUUGCUGUGCCCUGUGUCUGAUGCCGAGAUGAAGUUUGUUUGGAUACAUGAUGAAUAAAGAUCUACACCAUGGGUAAGUAAAAUGUAAAAAAAAAAAAGUUUGAAUGACUUAGAUGCUUUUGUUGAUAAUUUAAUUUGUUUUGUUAAGCUGUGGUACGCGUGUUUGUAUGUUUAACUUGUUGUUUAUAAUUUGUUAUGUAUAGAGAAAUUAAUGUGAGAAUUGGGUGAGCAAGAGAGAAGUGUUGUCACUCCAUAAAAAAAGAUGGAUACAUGGCACAACGAGUGAGUGCAUCGAGUAUAUUAAUUGUGGUGAGUAGUAUCGAAAGGCUUGUUCGGUAUUAUUUAUAAAUUAGUAGUUUUUUGAAAACAAAAAUGAGAAUGAAAAGGGUGUUUUAAAAAUGUUGUAUUUCAAAUUUAAGUAUGCGUCAGGUAUAUCUUGGAUUUUGAUGUAGAGGAUGUGGUCAUUGAAAAAAAAGGUCAAAUUCCUUCAAUUUCUUUCACAUAAGGUGCACGCACAACUUAUGAAACCAGGGCAAAAUAUAGUGAUUGUGAAACUCCUUAAGCACACCAUUAGUUACAGAGCCCUGUGUAACAGAAUAGAAACCUUGUGGGAAAUGUUACAUGGCUUUAUGGUGAUUGAUCUUGAGAAUGACUUUUACCUAGUUUGUUUCAAAAUGGAAACUGAUGCCCAUCAUGCUCUCACCCUAGGACCUUGGAUGAUAUUAGAACACUAUUUCACUGUUCAACAAUGGCACCCCACUUUGAUAGUUCUUUUUAGACAAUUGACUAAAUUAUUGGUUGGAUUCAUUUGCCUGGGAUGCCCCUACAUUAUUAUUAUAAGCACAUACUAAGGCUGUGGGGACAGAUUAUUGGUAAGGUUUUGCAUAUUGAUUACACUGUAGAAUCUAUUAUGAGGGGAAAGUUUUCCCAUAUUGCAGUAGAGGUUACGCUAAAUAAACCACUUAUUUUGUAAUUCAUUAAUGGAAAAAUUCAGAGGAUUGAAUAUGAAAGUCUCCCUUCAAUACGCUUUAGGUGUGGGAAUUAGCAGAGAAGAAAGAUACUAGAGAGUCGGGGGGAUAUGGUAGCCAAAACGGAUGAUGGUGUAAAGAGCAUAUAUGGAAAAUUCUAUGGAAACCUCCUUAUAUGGUCAUUGGAUGAUUGUAGCUAAAAAGGCAAGCCAAGGAGGCUUAAGGAAACUAAAGUGGAAAAAGAAUUUAAUCGAUUCCAGAAAGGCAAUGCGAGAGAUGGAUCCCCUUUUUUUAAUCCUCGCUACUAAGGAUUCCUUGGAUAUUGGGCGUAAUAAUAGCAAUGAUAUCCCAAGUCAUUAUUUACUAAAAUGCAUGCCAAACUGACCUUUUGCAAAACAGGCCAGAAACACAAAAACCAACCUGAAGCCUAAAUCCUGGCAUGGUAAUAGUAACCAAAAUCCUAGCCCAACUCAUGCUUCAAAACACCAGCCUAAUAUUUUCAAUGCAAAAGCUAUCCCUCAAGCCAAGUCGAUGUAAAAUAACAUGCAAAACACGACACCCCCACGUAAGCAAGGUUGGAGGCCAUACAAGACUAGAGGGUGCAACGGCCCCUGCUGAAUUUUAAAAAAUUUUAGGGUUUUUAAAUAAAAUAUGAAAAUUUAGUGUAAAAUGUCUAUACUAGCCCAUGCACAAUUAAUGUAUAAAGUUUAUAUAUUAGAUAAUACUGUAAUUUUACUAUUAAACCCACUAAUGAUAGCAUCAAAGUAUUAAGAAACAAAUCAGCUAAGCCCAUUAAAGCUCACUAAGUCACUAAUAUAUAAUAACAUAAAAAAUAGAAAUUUAAAUUUGGCCCUUAUAGGAUUUCCCCAUAAGCUCCGCCCUGCACGUAAACACAUGCAACCUCACGAAAUCAACAUCACAACCCAUAAUCUAAAACCUAGUAAACCAACCCUUGACCCUUUUAAAACAUUUAGUGAUUUCCUUUGCCACCCUCAUUGCUGUUGAUACUAUUAGUCUCCCUUGAUUUUCAAAGAACUUUCAAAGUUUUUGUUCAGAUGUAUAAUAGCUCUGUUUGAACCUCAUAUUAGUGGGAAGAAAACUAAUGAUUUUAUCCUCAAAAGUGGUUUUGAUAGAUCUCAUAGAAUUGAGACAGUGGUUUUUAGGGGUGGUAUUUGGCUGUUUGAGAGGAAAGGCUUCAACAUGCACAUUGUUAUUAACCAUAAACGGCUUGUCUACCUUCAUAUUUCCAAUGCGUAUGGCUUUGUUUCCUAGCUUAGUGUUGUUUACAACAGUCUCAUUCCUUUGCUUAGGAAUCUUUUUUAGAAAGAGCUUGAUGUUAUUGCUAAGAGGGUCAUGGGGCUUGGAUUCUCAAGGGUGAAUUUAACACUAUUUUUCAUUCUUCAGAGAAGAGAGGUUGGUCGAUUCAUAAUACUGGUGUCUGCAAUCGUUUUAGAAGUUGGUAUGAUAGAAACUAUUUUUAUGAUACCAUUUUAGUGGUCCAAAAUUUACAUGAGGCAGAGGUAAUUUGCUUAAGAGGCUGGAUAGGACUUUCUACAAUGAUGCGUGGCUGGUCAAGUUCUUUGAGUCCCAAAUUCUUCAUCUUCCAAAAAUAAUUUCUGAUCAUCGUGCCAUGCUUGCAUGUUUUGCUAGAAAUGUGGCGCGACCCAAUGAUCCUAAGCAGCCUCACUUUCUGGCUCCUUGGCUUACAAACAACAAAUUUAAAAAAAUAAUUUCAAGCAACUAGGAUAAGAAUGGUGAAUGUAUUGCUCAGUCCAACAAUUUUAUAAGGAGGUCAACAGAUGGAACAAAGAAGUUUUUAGAAAUAUACAGAGAUAGAAAAGUAGAAUCCUUGCUAGACUGAGGGAUGCCUAGUGUGCUUUAGAGAAGUACUCAUCCAAAAAUCUUGUUGAAUUAGAAGUUUCUCUUAAGUAGGAAUUUGAAUUUAUUUUAACUCAUGGGAACUCUUAUGGUACUAGAAGUUAAGGAAUGAGCAUAUCUCUUGGGGCGAUCGGAACAUAACUUAACUCCAUCAUCAAACAAUUUAGAGAAGAAGGAGAAAUCAUAUUGAUAUGAUAAAGAAUGAUAAUAAGGAAUGGAUUUUGAUAAAGAUAUGAUUAAAGAUUAUGCAAUGAAGUUCUUUAGGAAUUUUUAUACCAUGGAAGAUAACUACUAUACGCCCUAUCUGUUAGCAAGUUGAGCAAUUUAUUGUCUAUACAGCUACAUUAUCACCAUUGCCCAUCCUGUGUUCCAUUUAACCCGUUAUUUGUUUUGACGCAGCAGCAUCGCCAUUUAAAACACUUAAUGCAGAAGCAUUGCCAGUUAAAACACUUAGUAGAGCAGCAGGGUCUCAAACAUUUUGGAAUGCAGCAGCAGGGUCUCAAGCAUUUUGGUCAUUUGGGCCACCGACAACAGUUGACACAGCUUGGUAUCCAACAUUUUGGGCAUUUAGGUUUCCAGCAACAUUUCGUGCGGCUAAGUUUUGGACAUUCAGGGCAUUUGGGUCGGCAGCAUUUAAUCCUACAGAACCUGUUAGCAGACCCGGCGUUGGCGUUGGACAUUAUUGGUAGAUGGAGUUUCUGCCAAAUCUUAUUAGGUCAGAUUUUAGUGUUCAUGUUCUUCAUUUCUUGAGUAAACCAGCAAAGGUGGUGGAUGUAAUCUGGAUAUAGCGCCAAGUUGUAGUGCCCUCCUCCUUUAAUCCACAAAGGCUCUAACAGAUCUCUUGCCAUUUUCCAGAGUUUAUUUCCAUGAAACCAGUUCACAACAUCAUCAUCUGUUCCCUGUCAAAUUGUGGACCACGCCCAUUUAAUCAUUUGUCAUCAAGAAGCCAGUUCUAAUAAAGAUAAAUCAACCAUCAUUAGUUACAAAUGAGCAAUUCAUCCACGAUGCAUGUCAAAGUAGUGUAGAAAAACAAAUCGAUUGAUACGAAGCUCUAAAGGCAAACUUCAAAGGAUAUGUUUGUGGUAUUUAUUAAUACAUGUUUACGAGAAUUUUAGGGAAGCUUUUCAAAAAUUUGGUGGUAUUAUGAAAGAGGACUAAAUACCAGCAGCUAAAACCGCCUACAAGGCUUUACAUUACUAUUAUAUCCUUUGAUGAGCUUUAUAAUUGCAUUGGCGGUGCAUGUUUUGAAAGAGAGAUUAAUGUUACUUAAACAGAUGAUACUAAAUAAUCAAUAAAUGUUGCGAGAGGUGGCACAUUUGCGCAUGCAGCACAGAAUACAAGUACAUUUGCUAGGCUUAGAAUUAGGGGAGGGUUGGUGCAACUCAUAAUCUCACUACCCCAAUAUUUGCUAGCCACGUAAGCCUGAGGCUGCUGCUCCAUGACACUACGGGUGCUUACCAUAAUUUGAGCCCAAGCUUUGAGACUAUCAUUCAACCAUAUUAAUAUUUAUUAGAAGUUAUGAUGAUCAAACCUAGGAUGCAAUACACAUUGAGGAGAUAACUGUAGAUAAUAGUUCCUGAUAAUUAUAGCAUGUCACUUUGACCAAUAUUAUUCUAGCCCACUUGACUAGCACAAUAAAAUUGACCAAAUUUAGAAACUAGAAAAACUCAAUAUGAUAGGUACACAAGCCGAGCGUCACUCUCUUGGAUGCAAUUAAUUCCAGCCUGAAACUAAUAAUAAAGAAGCCUGCAACCAACAGCAUCACAUUCAAAAUUACACUUGAUGCAUCAUUAUCCCUUGUUUUCUUCCACCACUUAUUAAUAGUUACAAAAAACAUCUAUAAAAAAAAGCUAGACCCUGAAUCUAUUACAGGAAAAAGGGGAUCCUUUUAAGUCCCCAGGUGCGAUUUUCCUUGUUUUUGUUGAGUUUGAAUACAACAGAAGCUAAGAAGAAUCUCCAAGAAUGAAGCAAAAAACCGAGAACCCACUUACAAGAUCAGAAACCAGAUCUUGAACACCAACACCAAACAACACAAUUCAAAGGGGAAAAUGACACUCUUUUAUUGCUCAAAUCGAUUACAAAUCUAUCAAAUCUUGUAAAGGAGAUUACAAGCUUUACAAAGAUUUUAGAAUCACAGAAAUUGGAUGAAAAACGAAAGAGAAAAGUAACAUACACCAGAUGCUACACAUCAGCUCUGUUUAUAAAGCUAGUUUUGAAGAUUUCCAGAAGCAGCCAACCAAACAAACAUAACGAAGUUUUAGACACGUCAGCAACUAAAUUGCAAAUUGAUCCUCAAACUUAAGUCAAUCUGCAUAAAGACCACAGAAGUCUUAACUCUUUUCAUUUAACCCCUUAAAACAGAAUCUGAUUCUUCACAAUCUCCACCUUGCAGAUUUGAUUCAGUUUGAUUCUUGACCAUAAAAACUGCUUCAAAAAAACCCUUUAAAGCACACAGCCUCGAGAUUAAGAAUAAUCUUGUUAAAAACAUCAAUGUGCUCUUGUAUUGACACACCUUCUUUUAUAGAAAAGGUAUACAGCCUCUUCUUUAAGAAUAGUCUGUGAGCAAGUGAUUUCUUCAUGCACAAAGCCUCCACUUUGUUCCAAAUGCCCAGAGCUGUUUUCUCAUCUGAGAUUUCCCUCAGAAUUGAGUCACUCAGACUCAAGAUCAGGGUACUAUGGGCUCUAUUGUGAAUAUGCUUCAUCUUUUCACUAGAUCUAGAACUUCCAACAGUUUCUGGAUCUUCUUCUUCUAAGGCUGACUCCAAUCCUUGAUGAACAAGGAGAGCUCUCAUUUUCAUCUUUCAAAGUGAGAAAUCACCACCAAUGGGGAAUUUCUCAAUCUUGUGCUUUGGAAGUGACAUUGUUGCGAUCCCCCUAUGGCUCUGAUACCACCUGUUGAGUUUGAAUACAACAGAAGCUAAGAAGAAUCUCCAAGAAUGAAGCAAAAACUGAGAACCCACUUACAAGAUCAGAAACCAGAUCUUGAACACCAACACCAAACAACACAAUUCAAAGGGAAAAAUGGCACUCUUUUAUUGCUCAAAUCGAUUACAAAUCUGUCAAAUCUUGUAAAGGAGAUUACAAGCUUUACAAAGAUUUUAGAAUCACAGAAAUUGGACGAAAAACGAAAGAGAAAAGUAACAUACACCAGAUGCUACGCAUCAGCUCUAUUUAUAAAGCCAGUUCUAAAGAUUUCCAUAAGUAGCCAAACAAAUAUAACGAACUUUUAGACACGUCAGCAACUAAAUUGCAAAUUCAUCCUCAAACUUAAGUCAAUCUGCAAAAGAUCACAGAAGUAUUAACUCUUUGCAUUUAACCCCUUAAAACAGAAUCUGAUUCUUCACAAUUUUGUUAUAAGUGGACCAGUUUCCCUUUUCAAUCAGCAUUACAAGUGUAUUUAAUUGUGAUCAGCAUUAAGGUGCGCAGGAUUUUACAGUAUGGAAUGUGAAUCAUAGGCCUCAUCAAUUCCCUCAGUCGAGCGAACAAAUGCUCGCCCUAACAGAAACCCAAGGCAUCAUUUUUUCCAUCAGAAAUAAUAUUUUCAUUAACACCUUUAAGAACAGCAAGAACAUUGGAAACAAGCAAACAGAACAUAUGCACAUAUACACAUUACUACAAGGACAAUCAACAGAAAAACACAACAGCUGCAAUCUUAACUUUCUAAUUGGACUUGAACACUAGAUGUCUAAAGAGAAAUUUGACACACAAUAUAAUGCAAAACAGCAUAAACCAAGUCUGCAGAGCGACCAGUCGUCAUCUCUCGAUCCACUUAAAGCAUAAUCACAAACACUUGACUCCUGCAAAGUGAAUAAUACUAUAGACAAGACGUAGGCUCUCAAUAUAGCUGAAAGGUGGAAAAAGCAGGCAUAUCAUAUGCUGAUAUGCUAAAAGGAAAAAGAUAAUUAGUUAUAAAGGAAAAUUAUAAAAGAAAAAGAAAAAAUGAAUAGAAAUCGUGUGCAAGAUAAUUGUUGAGUUAUAAAGGAAAAGGGUAAUUAGAUAUUCUAAUUGGUAAACUGCCUCUAUAUCAGCAUAUGUAUUGGAUUCACUUGGCUGUAAGAUUAUAAAGGAAAAAGGUAAUUUGUUACUUAUAGCAAUCAACAUGACAAGACUGCAAGGAGUAAUAAGAUUAAAAAGCAAAACCAGGAAAAGCACUUCUACUUGUAAGCCUGCUAUUAUGUUUUGACAUUGAAGGAACAGGGCAUAUGCUAUUGUCACUCAAGUGAAGUGGAUUUAUAAACUAAAGCUAAACACGAGAGUGUUGACAUUGAAGGAACAGGGUAUCCGCCAUUUUCAUCCAAGUUCUUAGAAAAUGUAUGAUGAGUGUUCGGCGAGCAAGAAAAUGAAAGAGCAUAACAAAAAGAGCUUGAAUAUUCUGGAAAAAAUGCUAGAUUCAAUUGUUAGCUCAGUUCAAAAGGAAUGAUUACAAUGUAGCUUAUUUAGUAGCUCUAGUGAAUCUAACUAACUAGCCACAGAAGCUACUCGAUCAGUCUACUUAAUAUAAAGUUUGUAACAAUUUCAGCUGUCAUGUAUAACUAACUUUGACAUGUCAGCAGCUGGAAUUUGUUCAGCUAUUCGAUUGUUCAGGAAGCUUACGGUGUUCUGCUUGCUCUGAACUAAAGUUAAACAUGAAUCUGAUCAGGAGAUUCAACAAUGUGGCCCUUAAUUUAAAGACACGUUUCUACCCAGAUAAUCGUACGCUUUAUAACAAAAUUAAGCCUGUCACAUGCCGGAUUCGUCUAAAUCAUAGCCGCAAAUUGUCUCAAAGCAACAAGCAAUCAUUUAUUAAUAUUAUAAUAAAUAUUUUUAAAAUUGAAAAUAACCUAAAAAAAUUAUAUUAUAUAUUUUAAUUUAAAAUAUUAAAAAUUAAUUUUUGAGUUAUUAAUUUUUAAAAUAUUUUUUAAAUGAUAUAUUUUAAUACUAUAUAUGUAUUUAUUAAAGAAUAUUUUAUUUAAAAUUAAUUUUUGAGUUAUUAUAAUCAAAGGGUAUAUUUGUAAAAAAAAAGGUUUGGCUGGUCAUUUAUAAAAUUCAAAGAAUCUAUGUGAUUAUUUAAAAAAAAAUUGGGGUGCGAAUUAUUUUUUUCCCUAGAGUAAUUAAUAUCUUGCACUAUUUUGACUGGAUAAUAAUAGAGGUGGGUACCAUGUCUGAACCAAUUGGCUCUGUUGUGGAUUAUAUAAUUCAACAAUUAGAAAUAUCGUUUAUCUUUCAUAUAAUCUUUACUAAUUUGCAGAAGAAAAGAUGCCAAAUGCCUCUAAGUUCUUAUAUUGUCAAAAGUAUAUGAUACGAGUCAUUUUCUCACGUGGGUACCCUUAUUUUUUUCAUAGGAAUAUGAUAUAUAUAUAUAUAUAUAUGCUAUUAAACUAUAUGGCUUCAUACUGAAUUGAACACUAACUUUAUUAAACCAUACUCAAUAACGUAUCCAUAUUUAAAAAAAAAAAAAAAGAGGGUGCCCGCACUUAAGAAUUUUUAUUUAUGAUACUAUUUUAAAUUUUUUUAAAUAGAAAAAAUACCUUUAGGCGAAAUUGUUUGACCGUAAUCAAUGUUGUGUUUAUUACAUACAUUUUGAUCAAAUGGAUGUGUCUAAAAUUAGGAUAGGAUCCUCUCCUCUCUCUCUCUCUCUCUCUCUCUCUCUCUUUUUUCCUCUCCUUGCCUUUCCUUACAUUCAUAAUUUAUUGAAACAAGUUAAUUUAAUUGUCAAUAAAGUUGAAAAAAAAAAAUACUGAUUCGAUUGUCACCAUCAAUAUGAAACUCUAUCUUAAUCACUUUGUAGAAAAGCAGAGGCAAGGAAUAAAAAAACUAAUAAAAUAGAAUAAAACAAAAAAAUAAGGAAUGGAUUCUCGUAAAAUCAAUAUAUUAAGUAAGCAAUCUUAUCAGAACGCAUUUUAAUGAAUAAAGUGCCAAGAACUAGUAAUACUAAAAAAAAUUAACCGGCCGCAAUUUAGAUAAUAACUAGUGGUACCUUUCCUAUCAUCAAACAUUGAGGGGUGGCCGCCAAGGCUCUUAUUCUAUUCCCAUAAUUAGAUAGGUGUAAAAUUUCUAUCACGAUAUUAGUAGAAGUAUAAAUUUGACAAGUUGUGGUACGGGUAGAAUUUCCUCCCAAACACAGAGGUAUAAAUUUAGAUUUUAUUACAAUAGAACAGAAAUAGUUAGUUCCAACAGAUUUCAGAAAUAGAUUUCAAAUUGUAUGUAUAUCAAUAAACAUCUAAUUGCAAAGAUAUAUGUGUUAGAAAAUAAAAUAAAAAUAAAACUAGCUGGAUAUAUAUCAUCAGUCAUAUUACUGACCGUAAUAAAUAAAGAAUGUUUUUCUACUGAGGGUUCCUACAUUUUAUUUAAAAUGCAGUAACAAAUUUUGUAAUAUUGUAAAACUCAUUUACAAUAUUAUAAAAGUCAUUCCCACAUUUUAAUAAAAUGUGGGAACCUUCAUUGAAAAACUUCUAAUAGAUAAAAUCCCUUAUAUUAUUAAAAUAAAAAAUAGACAUGUGCAAUGCUUGUUGCAUAUUAGAAUCUAAUAGAUAGGAAAAAGGAUAUCUACGCCCCCAAAGUUUGGGGAAACAAUCACUAAGACCCCAAUGUUUUCAAUAAGGGAUACCUAGAUCCCCUUUUGAUACAAUAUUCUUUAACUUUAUUGACCUAAAAAAUUUGACUCCAAUGUUUUAUAUAAAUAGAAAUAUAAUAAUAUAAAUAUAAUAGUGUAAAAAUUUUAAAAUAAUUUCAAUAUUAAAAAAAUUUAAUAUUAAAAAAUUUUAGUAUUUUACAAUCUAUUAAACAUAUUUUGUUAUAUUUAAAGUAAAUUUUAAAAUAAAUAGAAAACAUAAUAUUAUAAUAGAUAUAUAAAAAUUUAAAUUAUUUUGAAUAUUGUUUAAAAUAAUUCUAAUACUAUUAAUACAUGAGAUGUCUUUUAUUAAUUGUCAAAUUUAUUUAACUCAAACAUUUAUUUAAGAUCCUUAUAAUAAAUACAAAUAUAUUAUCUACUUCAUCAAAAUAAAUAUAGUAUUUUACAUUUUUAAAAUUAUUUAACUUUUCAAAUUAUUUUAAUAUUAUAACUCUACUGAAAAAUUAAAUUAUUUAUAUUAUAUUCUUAUUUAUUAAAAAUAUUAAAAUCAGUUUCUUCUAAUGAUCAUAUUUAAAGGGUAUUAUGAUUAAAAAAAGAAUACUUUUUGAAAUUUUGAAGAUAUACAUAACUAUUUUUAAUCUUAGGAUGUAGUUGACUUUUUUAAUCACAACAAUGCUAUAAUUAAAAUCAGGACAUCAAUACCAUAAUUAAACAUGAAUUAUAUAAAUAAAACAUAAGACAUGUAAAUUUAACAUAAAACUUGUACAUUGAGAUUAAAUAUAAAUAAUAAGACAUAAAUUAUCAAAAUAGAACAUAACAGUUGUAAGUGGAAGGUAAAAUAAAUAAAUCAACACAGGAAUGAUAAAUUUGUAUAUAUUAGUAAAUAAAACAAAAACUUACAAAUGUAACAUAAAACUUAUAAAUCAACAUUAAGUGUAAAAUAAAACAUAAAUUGUGUACAUGAAACAUAAAACUUAUAAAUGAAAGGUAAAACAAGUAAAUCAAUAUAUGAUGUACAAUGAUUGUGUAAGGUACAUUUCUGAGGUCAUAAAUUGAGCUACAUAUAUCCUUUUUCGAUGUAUAAUAUACCAUUUCGAAGCUUACAAUAAGAAGAAUCUAGCCCAAAACGGAGCUAAACAUUUCACUUCUUUCUUGUUCAUUUUCUAGUUUUAAGUUUUUUUCCUAAUUUUUCUAAUUUUUCUAGGAUUUUUAUCUUUUUUCUAGAACCUAGAUUUGAGUGCCGUUCAUUUUCCUUUUCUUAUUUUGAUGAGGAGAAUUUUAUUAUGAAAUAAUAUUUUAGAUUUGCCUAUUUUGAUAGAAUCAAGAUAUUUAGUGUUAUUAUACAAAUGGGUGUAAAACCUUAGUUUGUACUAUUCAGAAUUAUUUAAUAACCUUCUGUCAUGACCCAACCUAGAUCGAGCAAGAUAUUAUUCGUUUUGGGCCUUAAUAAGGCCUGCACGGUUUUUUUUCCUGGGGGUUUAAGGACAGAAGCUCCCGGUCUGAACCCCGUCACUCGACUUAUGGAGGCAUGUGUGUGCCAAGGGAAUAGGGGGCAGUGGAGAGAUAAAUUCUUCUUAUAUGUAACACCCUAGGCGAAUUCCAUAUCGGCAAAAGCACGGGAGAGAUGUUAGGUUUAUAAGGGGUGAUCCAUACCUUAAUUAGUAAGAAGCGUUUUAGGGUGUAUGGGUGCCCCAGGGAUAAAACUGUACGGGCCUUGUUAAGGCCUAAAACAAACAAUAUCUUGUCAGGUCUGGGUUGGAUCAUGACAUUAUGGUAUUAGAGCAACUUCGCGUGUCCUCUUGAGCAAUGGUGGGGCAAACCUCAUUAAGGACGCUGAGUUCCUAAGGGGGGUGUAUGUAACACCCUAGGAAAAUCCCACAUCGGCAAAGCACGAGAGACAUGUCAGGUUUAUAAGGGGUGAUCCACACCUUAAUUAGCAAGACACGUUUUGGGGUAUAUGGGCACCUCAGGAACAAAACCGUGCGGGCCUUGUUAAGGCUCAACGCAGACAAUAUCUUGUCAGGUCUGGGUUAGGUCAUGACACCUUCUUUAUUCAUAAACUUUGUUUCAACUAUCUUCAACCCUUUUACACUUCCGUUUCAUCAAUAUAAUAUUGGUAAAUUGAUGUAUUAUUAAUAAAUAAAACAAAAACUUAUAAAACUUAUAAAUUGAUAUUACGUGUAAAAUAAAAUAUAAAUGAUGCAAUUAGAAGGUAAAAAAAUAAGUUAACAUAUAAGUGACAAAUUGGUGUAUCAAUGGUAAACAAAUUAAAAACUCACAAAUAUGACAUAAAACUUGUUAAUCAACAACAUGUAUAAGACAAAACAUAAAAGUAAAUUAAACAUAAGACUUAUAAAUGGAAGGUAAAAUAAUUAAAUUAACAUAAGAAUGAUAAAUUGAUGUAUUAGUGGUAAACAAAACAAAAACUAACCAAUGUAACAUAAAACCUGUAAGUCAACAUUAAGUGUAAAAUAAAAUGUAAAUUAUGUAACAAAAUAUGAGACUUGUACAUGGAGGGUAAAAUAAGUAAAUUACUGUAAGAGUAGUAAAUUGGUGUAUUAUUUGUAAAUAAAAUAAAAAGUAAUAAAUAUAACAUAAAACUUAUAAAUUAACAUUAAGUGUAAAAUAAAAUAUUAAUUACAUAAAUGGAAUAUAAGACUUGUAAAUGUGGGGUAAAAUAAGUAAAUUAACAUAAGAAUAGUAAAUUGGUAAACAAAAUAAAAACUAAUAAAUAUAACAUGAAGCUUGCAAAUCAAUACUUAAUGCAAAAUAAAACAUAAAUUAUGUAAAUGGAACAUAUAACUUAUAAAUAGAAUGUAAAAUAAGUAAAUUAAUAUAAGAGUUAUUUGAAAAAAAUAAAAAUAAACUUACAAAUGUAAAUUAGAAAGUCAUUAGAAUAACGAUUACCUUAUAUAUUUAUUGAUUUUAUUUCUAAUUUGAAUAAUGAUAAUUUUGAAUUUAUGUAAUAUAUUUGAUGAUUUAUUUGAAAUUUUAUUAAGAAUAGAAUUUAUCUCAAAAUUAGAUUUUAAAAACUAUUAUUUUCAUGUUUUCUAAAUUGAUUGUAAGAAGACAUGAUUUUGCAUCAUUCUAAAUCUUCUCGAUAGCAACCCUAAAUAAUCUUUAAGUACAAGUAGAAGUAAAGUUUGAAACUACAUCAAAUAUGUAUAAAAUUAGAAACUAUGUCCAAUUUUAUAGAUAUAACAUAUAUGUCUAAUAAUAUAAUAAUAUCCUUUUAUUUUCUUUUUGGCAUGAUCCAUAUCAAGAAAAAUAAUUUUUCUUAAUUAAUAUGUGCAGUAAACAAAUACUAUGAUAGAAAAUUUAAAAAAAAUUAUAAAUGCACUGGAUGAAUAUAGAAUUUAUAUUUAUAACAAUUCAAUAAAACUUAUUCCAAUUAUUUUCAAUGCAAUUUUUUAUUUUCAAUCAUGAGAGAGCUUUUUCUUUGCUUGAUAAAUUAAAUAAAUAAACUAUUUUUUGCAUAAUUAAAGUUUAAUGUUGAUUUACAAAUUUUAUGUUAUUUUUAUAAGUGUUUGUUUUGUUUGUAAUUCUAAAAUACCAAUUUACCAUUCUUAUAUUAAUUUAUUUAUUCUAUUUUUUAACUAUUUUUAUAUAUAAUUUAUAAAAUUUAUAUUUAUCACGGUAUUAAUGCCGUAAUAUUUUAAUCAUGGUAUUAUAAAAUUUUCUUGUAAUCUUUAUAUACUAAAUAAAUUACUUAAUAUGGGGACCAUGAGGAUAUAGAAUUAUUAUCUGGACUGUGCUGAAUACAAAGAAUUAAUAUUUGGCAAGUACGUUACUCUCAAUUAUUCGGAUAGAGACUGACAUGUUAAUAAUUUUCUUUACAUCAACCACAAAUGUCUCAAUAAUUUAUUCUAUAACAUUUGUCUUUGGGCUCAUUACGUCGGCUCCACAUUACUUGUCAUUAUGGCUUGGAUUAACUUUUGAAUGGGCCUAGGUACGUGUGUCUCAACUAAUCAACAAGUACCAUCACCAGUAACAUUAGUGCUGCCAAUUUUCCAAAGUUUGAAAUAUAACGUUCUAGCUGCCAGUUUUGACAAUUUAGUACGUAAGCUUACAACUCUAUUUUGUCUUUGUACACUUUCUAAUUGUAAUAGUAUCAAAGGAAUUGUAACUGCACUCUACUUAAAUUUAUCUAUUUUCAUUUUUUGUGCUAUCACCUUGAAACAACUGAAAGCCUCCAAGUGGGCCGUGUGCCCAAUUUUUUUUGUUAAGCCAAGCACGGCUCAUGGCACGAGCCCUCGCGUGAUGUGCUCGGGCCGUACCCAAAAAAGACUUAUUAAUUUUUUUUCCUUCAAGUCCACGUGUUUUUUUAAACCCACAGACUUGGCGUAGUUUUUUUAAGCUCAUGUACCUAAUGUGCUUUUCCAAACUCAUUAGCCCAUUUAAUAAUAAUAACAACAACAACAAUAAUAAUCAUUUGUAUUAACUAUUAAGAGAACAAUUAACAUUUUAUUAUCAGUUUAUCACAAUUUCGCAACUAUUAAGUAUUUAAUUUCACAAUUACCAAUUCAAUUAUAACACAACAAUAUUAUUUGAACUACACUUAAGCAAAUUACACCUAAUUUUUAUUUGAACUAUUAAUAUUAUAAUUGGACUUGAACUCCAUUGAAUGAAAAUACAAUUUUUAAUUUUAUGUUUUUGUGUAUAAAUAAAAAAAUAAAAAAAUAUUCCGUUCAUAAUUUUAUUUUUUUGUAUAUAAAUAUGAAAAAUAUUUUAUUCACAAAUCACAAUUCACAAAUCACAAAUCACAAAUCACAAAUGAAACAUAUCUCCGUUAACUAAGUUACGAUUUCAUAAAUGAAAUAUUAAUUGUCAUAAAAUUUUGAUAUAUGAUUUAUAAAAUCGUGAUAGUUAUAAUUUUAUUUAUUAAAAUUAUGAUAUUUAUUUAUUUAUUUAAUAAAUGAUAAACAUAAAACAAUUAGAAUUUUUUUUAAAUCUAAGACUUAAAUUAAUUUAAUAAAAUCUAUUAAAAUUUUAAUUUUAAAAUAUUUGUAAAAUCAUAACAUUUAUUUUUACUUUUUAUUAAAAAAUUACUUUAAUAUAGUUUGGUUCACGUGCUAUUGAUGGCUCACGGACCGCGUGUUAGCCUACUAAUGAAACAUGUUUAUUACGUGACUUUUUGCGUGUCUUGCUUUUAAGCCACACGUACCUAAAAAUUUGAGCCCUACCCGGCCACGUGUGUGCCAUGCUGUGCAAUUUACCUUGCCGAAACGUGCUAAUACCGUGCCGUACUGUAUGGACAUGUACCGCUCGGCCCGUUGAGCACCUUUAUUGAUAGCACAACGUUAUUUUUCUUAUUAUUUAUAACAAUUCAAUCUAAAAAAGACCAAAAAAAAAGAAAAAAGCUUACUCAAUAUAAGGAAAUUUUGCAACUGCUAUCAAAUUUUACACCUGCUGCCACUCGAGAAAUUUUAGUGGUAGCAGCCAUGGACAUUCUUGGUUCGUCUCAAACAAGUACUGUCGCAGCAAUUUUAAUCACUCUUUUAAUCAUUCUAUACACCUCGUUGUCAGUUUCAAGAAAUUUGCUUAGAAAAUACACAAGCAAGAAGAAGAGGGGAGCACCAGAAGCUGGGGGAGCAUGGCCUGUGAUUGGCCAUCUACACCUCUUAGGAGGGCCAGAACCUCCUCACAGGGUGUUGGGCUGCAUGGCUGACAAGUAUGGACCAAUCUUCACAAUCAAGAUGGGCAUAAAUCGAGCAUUAGUUGUGAGUAAUUGGGAGAUGGCUAAAGAGUGUCUUACUACACACGACAAAGUCUUUGCCAGCCGUCCAAAAACUCUAGCCAUGGAGAUUUUAGGCUACAAUUUUUCCAUGUUUGGGUUUAGCCCAUACGGCUCUUACUGGCGAGAGACACGCAAGAUAGCCACACUUGAGCUUCUCUCGAACCAUCGGCUUGAGAAGCUCAAGCAGGUACGAGAGUACGAGUUGAAGACUUGUUUGAAGGAGUUAUACCAGUUAUGGGACAACAACAAAAGCACUAAUAAGAUGUUGUUGGUAGAGAUGAAGAGAUGGCUUGCAGACAGCAUCCGUAAUGUGGUUUUAAGAAUCAUUGUAGGAAAGGGAUGCAAUUCAAUGGAUAGUGAAGAAUGGAAAGAACUAUUAACGAGAUUUUUUGAAAUGAGUGGUAAGUUUGUGGUGUCAGAUGCAUUGCCGUUUUUGAGAUGGUUGGAUAUAGGGGGUGAUGAGAGGUCAAUGAAGAAGAUUGCCAAAGAAUUAGACGUUGUUGUUCAAGGAUGGUUAGAAGAGCACAAGAUGAAGAGAGAUUCUCAGGAAAUGAAUCAAGAAGAAGAAGAUUUUAUGUAUGUGAUGCUUUCGAUUUUAGGAGAUACAGAGCAAUAUUAUGGUCGUGAUGUUGAUACAAUCAAUAAAGCUAUUUGCCUGGUAUGCCUCUCUUAACCGAAAAUUUUCUUUUAGGUUUAGUCUAUGGGCGACUCAAUCCCCUCUAGAGUUUGAAAAAUCAAGACCUCUUCUUUUUAUUUUAUUCUUUUAUUUAUAUUAACCGCACAUUAAUGAGGCUCAAACUCAGGUCUUAAGUUGUACGAAGGUUGUUCCUUAUCAAUGAAAUAAGACUUUGCUCGGACUUCUUCUUUUCACUCAAGAGAUCUAAACAAAAGAACUAGUGGUAUCAAUCUCUUAAUUGAAUAUUAUAUACUUUUAAACGAUUUUACACUUAUAAUCAUUCAGAUAGUUGUUUACAUCAUUCUUGAAGAUGAGAUUUCUAAAUGAAAGCAAUUAAAUCUGCAAGUUGUGAAUUGAAAAUAUUUAUUAUUCUGUUGUCUCCCAAUCAGUCGAUCGGGUAAAAUGGUGAACCAAAAGUCAAGGAAAUCGUCAUCUGUUCAUUAUUGCAUUAGUCAAUUGGGACCUACAUUUUAGGAUAAGUUUUUGAUAAUAUGUUGGUGGAUUUGAUCUGUCAGUAAAAGCCAAAAGAUACCCAAAAAAAUUGAGUCUUUAAUGGAUUUUUUUUCUUAUCGUCUUUAAUGGAAUUUAAUUAAGUUGCAUUGUGGACAAGUGCAAUAUGCAUAUACAUGAAAGCAUAACAAUGUUGUAUACACUACCAAUUUUGCAGGGUCUCAUCUUAGCAGCAACGGACACCACAGCUGUUACAUUGACAUGGAUUAUCUCCCUGCUUCUCAAUCAUCAUGAUAUUCUAAACAAGGCUCGAAAUGAACUAGAUAUUCAGGUGGGCACAAAAAGGCAAGUGAAUGAAUCAGAUAUAAAAAAAUUAGUUUACUUACAAGCCAUUCUUAAAGAAGCAAUGCGUUUAUAUCCUGCUGCGCCACUCUUAAUUCCACACGAGUCUAUAGAAGAGUGCACAGUAAGUGGUUACAAUGUUCCCAGCGGCACACAACUUUUUAUCAACGUUUGGAAGCUUCAACGUGAUCCCCAUGUCUGGGAAGAGCCUUGUAAGUUUCAGCCAGAAAGAUUUUUGACAAGGCACAAGGAUACUGAUGUCAGGGGACAAAAUUUUGAAUUGUUACCUUUUAGUAGUGGCAGAAGAAUGUGUCCUGGAGUUUCAUUCGCCCUCCAAGUUAUGCAAUUUACACUUGCUUCUUUACUUCAUGGCUUUGAUAUUGCAACCCCAUCAAAUGAACCAUUGGACAUGGGGGAGGGAUUAGGGUUGACCGUAGAGAAAUCUACACCACUUGAAGUACUUGUCGCUCCACGUCUUUCUGCUUCUUUGUACGGCUAAAUUGAUUCUCGAUGUAAUAUAUCUAAUAAACUUUUAUGGCAAGUAUUGGUGUGUUUUUUUCUUGUUUACUCUUACCCAUUAGGCCUUUUCUAGUUGAAUAUAAAUGUUCGAAUUAUCAUUAGUCAUAAAUUUCUAGUAUUAAACGAACUUUUAUCACGACUAAGCUCUGAAUCCAUCAUGACUAAGCUGUGAAUCCAAUACCAUUUUGCAAAGACGCAAAAUGCCGAAAAUGCUAUAAAGCUAGCUUUCCUUGUUUGCAGAAAUCAGAAUAGUUUUCUUGAGUGCAAUAUUGUACGUCCUAGUGGAGGCUUCUUUCCUCUGAUCUUGCCACUCAGGUUACAGGUAACGCUGCUUAAUGUUAUCACAAGUUCAAGAAAACAAAUGAGAAUAAAAACUCUUAAGAGAAAAGUUUCUUCUUCAUUUUGGAUAUUUUUCUUCUAUUAACUCUUCCCGUAUCUGUUGUAAUCAGAGGCGGAUCUUGGUCAUUCAUCAAAAAAACAAAAGAAAAAAAAGUCUUCGGAUAAGAUCAAAACCACUGAUACGGUGCUGUUGGUAGAGAUGAGGAGAUGGUUUACAGACACCACACGUAAUGAAGUUUUAAGAAUGACUGUAGGAAGGAUGUCAAUUCAGUGGAUAGGAAGAAUGGAAAGAGUAAACCAUCUCUUUAAGUGGGUUCCAACUCCUAACCUAUUUUAUUAGUUGAACUAAUUGGUACUCAUCACGUGUCGGAAUGUUAUUGAUGAUGAUGAUGAUGAUGAUGAUGAUGAUGAUGAGGAUGAGAUUUUCAAACGUGGGCAGCUGAAUCUGUAACUUGUGAAUUGAUGCGAAUAUUUAAUUAUUCUGUUUCUAUUCAUGCAGCUAAUCGGUUUAAUAAAUAUUUAUGACUAGUAAAGCGUAAGGCUCGCUAUGUCCCUUUGUGGGUAAUAGAAUUUCAUUUAUUUUUAUUAAUGAAGCUCUCUCCACCGUCAAGGUCAUUUAUCAAAAUAAUAAUAAUAAUUAUUAUUAUUAUUAUUCUGUAUUUUCCCAAUCGGUUAAUAAGGGAAAUUUUCAUUUUUAUCAUACAAUUUAGUCCAGUCGAUCGAUUUUUAUUCAAUUGCGGGGUUCAGAAUUCAUUUGUUUGCGCACACUAACAAUUUUGCAGGGUCUCAUCUUAGUUACAACCGACACCAUAACAAUAAAAUUCACAUGGGUUUUCUCUUUGUUUCCCAACCACCAUAAUAUUUUAAAAAGGGCUCAAAAUGAACUAGAUAUUCAGCUGGGAAAAAAAGGAUAUGUGAAUGAAACAUACAUAAAAAAUUUAGUGUAUACACUAACAGGCCAUUCUCAAAGAAGCAAUGGGUCUAUAUCCUGCUGUGCCACUCUUAAUUCCGCAUGAAUCUAUAGUAAGCUGUGCCUAAUUUUGAAAAUCAAACCUUACUGGAGUGCUCAAACUAGAAUCUGUUGAUACGAUAAUUUAAUAAUUUAAAAAAAAAUUAAAGUCCCAUCUCAAAAAAAAAAUAGAAGCGCGGGCCCCGCAAUAUCACUUUCAACCAACAUUGGAAAGAGAUCUUGUUUAUCUUUUGUUUGUAUAAUAUCUACUGAUUUGCAAAAGAGAUGAUAGCAAAUGGCUCUAAAGUUCCUGGAAUGUCAAAUAUCUUUACCGUAUUUUAUAAUAGAAAAGAUGCCUUUGGGGUCAAACUUGCCGGCCGAAACCAAUGCCAUAUUCAUUUCUUACGUUUGAAUGUUUGAUCCUUGAUCAAUAAAUUAAGCAAAUCUUAUCCGGUCCCACAUCAAAUCAAUAAGUGCCAAACAAUAAUAAUAAUAAAUAAAACUAGCGGCUGCCCACUAUAUCAACAAAGGACCUGUCUAUGGUACAGAUUCUGUAACAAACAUCUCCCGUCAUCCCACCAUCCGAUUUUCUAUUGUUUAGUUUCUCACUCCACAUCCAACCACAUCCAACGGCUGAUGCUGCAGUCUGUACCUUACAGAUUCUGUAAGCUAGUCGAGUCCAUCAACAAAAGUUGAAUGUUCGGGCUGGUUGAUUCUUUGCAGUUGUAAAGGCUUAUUUUCCCCCACGUACUUAAGUAGGGUACACUUUUAUUAGAGAGUAGAUAUGUCCCUUGCUUGAAUAUUGGUAGAGUUCGAAAUAUAGAUUCUCAAUAAAUUUCUACUGCAUACAUCAGCUAGGGUAGAUAUGUCCCUCCGCAAAUAUUGAUGUAGGUAGAAAUCUGUAUUGCAUAAUAAUAAAAUUUAGGAUAUAUUUUGGAUUGCAUUAGCUUCCCAAAACAAUCUAUUUUAGGAUAAAUUUUGAAACAAUCAAUUUUAUAAAUAAUUUAGUUACAUGUUUGGUAACCUUAGAUUAUAAUAUAAUUACUUAUUAUAUGAUUUAACAUGCAUUUUUGGUAAAUUAAUAAAAAAAAUGUUGAAAUAACAAAAAUAGACAUUAUUUAUAUUUUGGUUAUAUAGAAGGAUUGAGCUACGGUUCAACGGGUGCCCCAUACCCCUUCUUUUUGUCUUUUUUGGUUGCACCCCCAAAUCUCUUCUUUAUUUACAGUUUAUUAAAAUAAUAUGUUUUUCCUCUUUAUUCAACCCCUCACCUACGCAUUCUUCUGGAUUUUUUUUUCCAUUUUCAAUUAAACUUGUAAUCAACCAAUUGCAAUCAAUAAAAGAAACUUGACAUUCUCAUUGAAGCUACUUCCUUAUUGCCUUAAGAUUCAUUUGCUCUAUAUCACAUAAGUAAUAAUGAAUUAAACUUUUAUACAAAAAAAAAUCACAUAGUUAUAUUUUUGUACCCAUAAUCUAUUCAUUAUACAAUGAAAUUCAGGUCUAAUAAAUUUGAAAAUUUUCAUAUUUUAUUACGUGUCUUCUUCCCUUCUUCUCCUCCACGUGUCUCUCAAUUUUCUCCUUAAAUAAUCUAACUCUAGGGCUUUCUAAUGAUUGGAUAACUAUUAUAAUAAUUUUUUUUUUCAGUAAAACUCCUCUUAUUAGGUUAAUGAGUUUGUUUUCUUAAGUAAAAAGAAUAUUUUAGCAAAUGAUCAAAAGUGAGAGUUUUAACAAAAAUUCAAAGUUUGUCUUAGUUUUCAUUGUCUUUGACGCAUCUGGCAUGUUUGAUUUCUUGAUUAUAACUUGCAAAAGUGGGUAAUAUAACACAAUGAUGAUGAUUAGUGAUUCGGAGAGAAUUUGAGAGAAAAAGAUAUUGGCACAAAAUUUUGUGAACUUUAACUUUUCUAAUUUUUCAGCAAAUAUUAGGGAUUGCAUUGUUAAUAAACAAACAACACAUCCCUGCCCUUGAAACUCCUUUUGUGUCAAAUCCAAUCGUGGCAGCAAAAAAAAGACAAAAAGAGGAGUAUGGUGUACCCGUUCCACCAUAGCUAUAUAGAAAUCAAAUAAAAUUAAUUUUAAAGCAUAUUAUUUAAUAAACAAAAAAUUUUAAUUUUUCUCAACUUUCCAUUUAUAUUUUCUAUUAAUCAUUAACAGUCAAUGCCAAUUCAUUAAUAAGAACUUUUAACUUUAUGUUAUCUUUCUAAAAAAAUCAUUAGUCAAUAUCAAAUGCUAAGUAAUAAGAAAAAUACUUAAUAACAAGAAAUAAAUGAAUGGAGGUUGAAAUUUCGUUAGUUGGAAACUGUGCCAUUGUCAUUGACAAAGAUGGAAAAUAGGGUAGGCAAAAUCUGGAUCCGGGUCCGGAUGUAGGUACAUCUGCAUCCGAAUUUGAAUCCGGAUGUAAAUUUUUAAAACUGAAUUUGCAUCUGGAUUCGCAAAAAAAGAUGCGGAUCGGAUGCAAGUAAUAUCCGCAAUGAAUGCGGGCGGAUAUUCCGGAUAUCCAGAUCUGCAAAAAUUAAAAUUUAAUAAUUUAAUAAUUUAAUAAAUAAUUUAAAAAUUCAAUAAUUUACCUAAUAAUAUCAAAUAAAAUCCAAUCAUAAUUCAACAAAUACUAAUUCAACAUGAAUAACGUACAAUAUAAAAUUCAAUCAUAAUCCAAAAUUAAUAAUUCAACAUGAAUAAGAUACAACAAAAUCAUAAAUCCACAAAUAAAUUUUAAUUUUUAAUAUAUAUAUUUAAUUUAAAUUUUAAUUGAAAAAUAAAAUUCAAUAAUUUACCUAAUAAUAUCAAAUAAAAUUCAAUAAUGAUCCAACAAUUAAUAAGUCAACAUGAAUAGUAUAGAACAACAUCAUAAAUCCACAAAUAAAAUUUAUUUUUGGAAAAUUAUCAUUGCACCGCCUUUUGUUUGCCUUAUGUUCAUCCAACCACCACAAAAUUCUAACAUGCUUUCUGCACCACAUUUCUUUUAAAAUUUGUAUCAAUUACCCACUUUUGCACUAACACCGUUAAAUAAUUUAAACGAAAUGAUAAUUUGACCCCUAAAUAAAUUAAGAUAUCAUUUUAUCUUGUAAAAAUUUUAAAAAUAAAAAAAUUAUAAUUAUAAAAAUACCUCUACAUUUAAUAAAGAAAUAAAUCCAAAAAUUAGAAUUUUUAUUUUUAAUAAAAAUUAUUUUAAAAAAAUUAUAAUUAUUCAAAUAAUUACAAAAUUUUGGGAUUUAAUAAAAAUCCCUUAAAUUAUUAAAAUUUGGGAUUUUUUUUAAUAAAUAAAUUCAGUUAUUUUAAUAACAUUUUACAAAAUUAUAAUUUUUAAUAAAUAAAUUCAGUUAUUUUUUAUUAAAAUUUUGUAAAAUUAUAAAUUUUUAAUAAAAAUAAUGAUUAAAAUUUUGCAAAAUCUAAAUUUAAUAAAAAUCAGCUAAGCACAUCUAUUUUGGAUUUAUUUUUUUAAAUUUAGGGGUAUUUUUAUAAUUAUAAUUUCUUUUAUUUUUCAAAACUUUAUAAGAUAAAAUUAUCUUUUAAUUAUUUAGGGGUAAAAUUGUUAUUUCGUUUAAAUCAUUUAAUGGGGUUAGUGCAAAAAUGACUAAUUGAUAUAAAUUUAAAAAGAAAUGUGGUGUAGAGAACAUGUUAGAAUUUUGUAGUGGUUGGAUAAACAUAAAACAAAAGAAAGGUGGUGUAAUGAUAAUUUUCUUUUAUUUUUUAAUUUUUCAUGUAAUUUUUAAUAUAUAUUUUUAAUUUAAUUUUUAAUCUAAAAUAAAAUUUAUCCGGAUCCGAAUAUCUAGUUUUCCAAAUGCACUAACAUCCGGAUCCUAAAUUUCCAUAUCUGGAUCCACAUUUUUUAAUAUGCGAAUCUGGAUGUAUUUAACAUCCCUAAUGGAAAAGUUUCCCUUCAUCGUUAGACUCAAAAUUUCACAUUCUAAGCAACCAUAUCCAUAUUAUCGGCUAAACAAAUUUGCUGGUGGUGGAAAGGCCUCCUAAAUAAGCUGGCUGUUAAAAUCAGGUGUUUUUUGCUUCACCGCCAACAUGAACAUUAUUUAAAAAAUUGUUGUAUCUGUUGGAGAUGGCAAUUCAUGUCACCUCACCUCGGUUAGACGACGGUGCUAUAUUGUCGUCACAUUUGAGCGGCAUUUAUGCCACCACUGGAUUAUUUUCUCUACAAAGACCGAUACCAUCAUGUAGAUCAUGAAGCUUCAAGUCCACUGGUACCAGAUUUACCAUCGAAGGACAACUUUCUCGCUGAUGACAAAUUGUUGGCACUAUAUGCCCGCAAUUAUUUUUUAUUUCAAAAUUUAAUUUAUAACAUUUAAAUAUUAAUUAAUUAUUGUGUAAGGGUAUUUUUGGUAAACAAAUGUUUGUGAAGGACAAUUUCGAUAUUGUACCUUACAAAUUGAUUUUGAAAUAAUCGGGUUUGGAAAAGCUACUCUUAAGUUUCUUUUAGAAAUCAAUCUAAGGUCAAGGAAAGUAGAACUACUGAAAUGCACUUUCUUCCUUCUCGGUUUUCUCUGAAAACUUAAAUUGAAAGCCAAAUAGAGUUGUCUAUGACUCUUUCUUACUACCCACCAAUUGGGUCUCUUAAAACCUUUUCUAAUUCACCUUAUCUUUUCUUUGUUUCUUUCUUUAAUCCUUGUUAUUAUCAAUAUUAUUUUCAGUAGCUCAAAAUCAGUCCAAAGUCAGAGAAGUAGUUGGUGAAAUAAAGUCAACAGUAAUUAAGAAGAGUCCUACAACAUAGCUAUGGACACUGAAGAAUUAAUUUGGUGGUGCAAAGCAAUUACUUUAUCAGGGGAGGGAGAAGACAGAGUAGGGAGAAGACAGAGUAUCCUUACGAAGUAAAAUGAGAGCUGUUGUUGUUUAAAUUUUAUUAAACUCGCAAGUGCACGAAUCUAUUGUAAAAUAGAUUCAUGGUGACGAGUGUCGAUCCUACGAGGAGAUGUAUUUUAAUUAUAUGUAGAGUUAAUUUUCUAUGAGGAUGGUUGGAUUUGUGGUGAAAGUAAAUUAGAUUAUCCUAAAAUUUGAACUAAAAUGGCGAGAAUAAAAUGAAGCGAAAUCUAUUGAAAUGACGUACUUGCGUAUCUGGAUCUGCAUCAAUAUGCACCAUGGGCUAAAUAUUCCUUAUUAAUGUCAAUUAAAUCAUGAAGGGGGAUUCCACUCCUCAUGAACCACACUCUAAUCAAUAUAGUGCUAAAGGCUUAUCGUGUCAAAUAAUAAUAACCUUGUACUAGGGAGCCGGUGACACCAUGGCUGUAUCUAGAUAAGAUUAUUACUAUUUGUCAACGAAAAAUCAAAACAUCCACAAUAAUUAGAGGGGAAGAGAAAGUAAAUUUACCAAAUAAAACUCAUGACACAUGUUGAGACUGCACCUUCAACCAAAGCUUGAAAGAAAAUUAGCUACUCAUAAUUAAACUAGGGGCAAAAUGAGAAUUUAAUAAAAUACAUAGAAAAUACAAGAUGGAGAAGGAAUUAUAGAAAAUUGAACUCAAACAUGAAUUUAGGGAUGCCAAAUUAGUGGGGGAAGACCCCCUUUUUAUAGAUACAUUGAGUAAAUCAUGGCCAUCAGAUUAAAAAUAUUUUGGACGCUCAGAAUUGCGCCACGUCAUCAGUCAAAAGUACGCGGUUUGACCACGCGGUUUGAAUAGUGAUACGGAUUGACCACGCGGUUUGAACAGUCAUGUGGCUUGAACAAUGACGCGGUUUGGUUGUAAAUAAUCCCAUGUAUAUGUAUGUACCGUACGCGCGAUUUUUAGUCCACUAACAUGUUGCCACGUCACCGAUCAACAAUACAUAAGAAUUUUAUUCCAAUAGAAUCAUGACACCUCAUCAGUCAAUGCCACAUCAUCGGUCAAUGUCACAUCAUCGAUCAGUCUAUGUGAAUAGUGUCGUGAACAGUAACGUAGACACUACCGUACAUGUGAACAUUGUCAUUUUUCCUUUUAUACUCCUCCUAAGGUUUUCAACUGUCAUGAGUUCAAAAUUUAUGUCUGUUUUGCUGUCUGAACUCUGGUUCAUUGUAAAAUGACCAUGAUGUCCCUAAAAUAGAUAAAAUACUUAAUUAAAAUAAAACACACAUAAUUAAAUUACGAGAGACUAAAACACAUAAAAGUAUAAAUGUUAGUAAAACUUGAAAUGUAAAAUGAUGAUUUUCUCCUUUAUAAAUAUACACUUUCUAACACUCAACACACCCCCAAACUAGCUUAUUGCUAGUCCCUAGCAAAUAAAGCGAAAACAAAAUUCAAAACCAAAAUGAAUUUUUUUUAAAAAUAAUUGUGCUUAUUCAAUCAGACUAAUGAUAGUAAUCAAAUAAAAGUAUAAGCAUUAUUUUCAGUCUAAAGAAACAUCACACCCACAUCAAUCAUUCACAUGAAUUAGCCUAGUAGACUUUGUCACAGCUACUUUCAAGAAUGACAAGUCAAACCCCAAAAUCUCACUAGAAGUAGUGACACUCUCACAAGGAAAUUAAACCCAAUAAAAAUAGUUACUCCAAUGAAUGGUAAUUGAGAGAAAAUAAUAAAGAAGUAAUAUCACAUGCUCUCACCAAGAUGAAAGAAAUAUGCCCUCAGCUUAGAAAUAAUACGAUCUCAAGUAAAAAAUAAUAAUAAUGCUAGUCAACCCAAUUUAUUUAUUUAUUUCUUUUUUUUUAUGCACCACUACAUCUUUUUAGCCCAUAUAUAUAGUUUUUACUUCAAACUAUAGCUCUCUAAAAUCAGGAAGGACUUUUAUUAGGAUGUAACGUAGGUUAGGGACAUUGCUAACAAAGGAGGGUAAAUAAGGAAAACAACAUAUAUGUUUGAGAAAAAGUAGAGAUCUUUUGGAAAUUACAAGGUGGAUUUCACCUAUUAUUAUUAUUUUUUUCUUUUUUUUAAACAACAAUUUUUUUGUUUGGCACAACUUCACUGAACAAAAUAAUUAUUUACAUUUUUCUCAAACAUAAAUAGAUUAUGGAACUUUUAAAAUAUCGGAUAUUACUCCAAAUCGGAGUGGGCCAAGAUGAUAAGUUUUGACAAAGAAAUUUUUUUUUUUUUUAAGGCUCAAAAUGGUUAACUAUGGAUUUUUCACAAAAGGGAUGGCUAGAAAGGCUCAAGCGGGUCAAAGAUGGCAUUUCCAUCGUCUUUUAGGGCUCUAAAUAAUCUUCCAUAUCUACUAGUUAGAUGGACCUCCAGAUGUAGUAACACACAUUUUUUUCUUCUUUUUUUUAUUUUUUAUCUUACAAAUUUUGUUUUUAGAGGGUUGACUCAAAAGAAAUCUAGAGAUCGUAUAUAAAAUAAUAAACUGCUAAAUUGUAUGAUGAAUAAGAAAAAUGGGUUACUAUCCAAGAAAAAUGACAGGCUUAAAAACUUACUUGGUAUUUAUUAUGACAUGUGCAUUCCUUCAAGCAACUCAUAUUUGUCUCCGACAUCAAUAUGUGGAGUAGCAAACAUAACGUAAUAUUACUUAAGACCAAAGAUAAUAUGAAUACUAAAAUUUAAAAAUCAUCAUAUUAUCCAAUGUUAAAAAAUAUCACACAACUUUUUUUUUUAAACGACAAUCUACCCCCCAACCUAUUCUAAACAUGAAAAGAAAAUAUGCAUGUAGAAAGGUGAAAAUGACGUAGAAAAGCUAAUUAGAAAAGUUAAACUUAAAAUGAUAGAAAAAGAAAAUGGGUUUUUUUUUUUAAACUAAGAAGAUGCGUUUCUAGAGGCACUACACUCUAUAUUCAGCCAUCUUCGACUCAAAAAUUUGAAAGUGUAUAUUUGUAAAGGAGAAAUUAGAAAGAAGAAGUUAAAAAAAAUGAUUGUCAAAACUUAAUAAAGAAAAAGAAAACGUCUAGAAUUUUUUUGUUUGAUUUUUUUUAAAGGAAAAAGAUGCGUUUCUAGAGUACCUACACUCCAUAUUCAGCCAUCUUCAACAAAAAAAGUUAGCCACGGUUAGUCUCUACAACAAAAAUUAGUAAAAACUUACAUAAGAUUCCACAAUUGUCAAUUAUUCCCUCCCCCCAACCAGAAUAAAACAUUGUCGUCCUCAAUAUUUUAAAGGAAAGAAGUGGAGUUUAGAAGACAUCACCUGGAUGGUGCAACACAGAAGAAAAUAUUUACAAGCAGAGAGUUAAAUCUAAUUUAUACUUCUUACUGCAGCUACUGUUACCACCAUUAUUUGGAGACUCCAACACAAAGGUCCUGGGGUCUGGCUCUGGUCUAUAAGCUUGUAAUAGAUCAAGUAGUUCAUUAGUAGUGUGAGCACAAAUAAAAAUUUUUUUCGCUGUGGAAUGAAUGAAAUAGUUUUUUAUUGCAUGGUUAAGAAAUGCGAUAAAGUCAUCAUAAAAGUUAUUGACAUUUAACAAACCGAUGAGUUUAUGGUGAAUGUGCAGAUGGGCCCAAGAUGCUAAUGUGAUAAGUGCCUCUAGAGUUGCAAGAUCUCCUGGAAGGAAAAUAAAAGUAUCAGUAUGAUUAAGCAUUUCAGUUAUUCUUUCUUGCAUACCUGAGACGACUAACUCUUCUCCAGUCGAUGAGUCUGACAAACUGUCCAAAUGUUUUAGGGCUCUUGGGAUGAUGCCUAACACUUGGCUUUCUCUGACAAAAGCAGCUUCUGAGACCAAUUUUGAUAACCCUCGAUUACCUCCUCCAUACACCAAGUGUAAUUUUCUCUCUGCUAUGCUUCGACCAAGAUCUAUGGCUGCCUCAACGAAUUCUUUAUGUUUGCCAUAGUUAAAUCCAGAAAGCACACAAAUAUUUUUGAAUUGUUUAUUUGAAGUAGCUGCCAUUGGGAUGUUUUCAAAAACAAUUUGUGAAUGCAAAACAAAUCAUAUUUAAGAAUCUUGGUGAUAGUGGGUCACAGAUGUGUAUAAGGUAACAUGUUUGUGUCAAUUAACGCGUAAAACACAUGGCUCGAGAGUAAAAAAGGAAACAGUAAAAAGGAAAAGAAACAAUGAUAAAAUAAAAUUAUUAAAAAUAAUAAUGCAAAUGAUAAAACAACAGUAAAAUAAAAUAACAGUGAAGUAAAACGAUAUGUACAAGUAGUUGUAACUGUGGCUCACAUUUUCCUCUAGUUUUACGUUCAGAAACGGCUUAAACGCCCUCUAUGGGUCGAGAAUAGGCUUCUCAUCCAGUUUUCUUAUAAACUGGCAAACAUGGUCGUUUAUAGUCAGAUUCCCAAGACUAUAUCGUGCAUGCUCUUUCUGGAAUAAUGGUCAUAACUGGAGAAUCGCUCCUUGUACAUAUCCACUGAGAUGUGUUUCAAGAGACAAAAUGAUAUCAUCCAAUGACUCCUUAUUCAAGCCAUCCCUAAUGAAUUAAAUACAAGUAGAAAUAAAAGUUUGAAACUAUAUCAAAUAUGUAUAAAAUUGGAAACUAUGUCCAAUUUUAUAGAUAUAACAUAUAUGUCUAAUAAUAUAAUAAUAUCUUUUUUUUUCUUUUUGGCUUGAUCCAUAUCAAGAAAAAUAAUUUUUCUUAAUUAAUAUGUGCAGUAAACAAAUACUAUGAUAAAAAUUUUAAAAAAAAUUAUAAAUGCACUGGAUGAAUAUAGAAUUUAUGUUUAUACCAAUUUAAUAAAAUUUAUUCCAAUUAUUUUCAAUUCAAUUUUUUAUUUUCAAUGAUGAGAACUUUUUCUUUGCUUAAUAAAUUAAAUAAAUAAACUAUUUUUUUUAAUUAAAGUUUAAUGUUAAUUUACAAAUUUUAUGUUAUUUUUAUAAGAAUUUACAAAUUUUAUGUUAUUUUUAUAAGUGUUUGUUUUGUUUGUAAUUCUAAAACACCAAUUUAACACUCUUACAUUAAUUUAUUUAUUUAUUCUACUUUUUAACUAUUUAUAUAUAUAAUUUAUAAAAUUUAUAUUUAUCACGAUAUUAAUGUUGUAAUUUUAAUCAUGUUAUUAUAAAAUUUUCAUAUAAUCUUUAUAUACUAAAUAAAUUACUUAAUAUGGGGACCAUGUGGAUAUAGAAUUAUUAUCUGAACUGUGCUGAAUACGAAUAAUUCAUAUUUGGCAAGUACGUUGCUCUCAAUUAUUCGGAUAGAGACUGGAGAGUGACAUGUUCAUAAUUUUCUUCACAUCAAUCACAAAUGUCUCAAUAAUGGGAGGGCCUAACUUAGCGCCUACCCUCAAUAAUUUAUUCUAUAACAUUUCUCUUUGCGUUCAUUACGUCGGCUCCUCAUUACUCGUCAUUAUGGCUUGGAUUAACUUUUGAAUGGGCCUAGAUAUGUGUGUCUCAACUAAUCAACAAGUACUAUCACCAGUAACAUUAGUGCUGCCAAUUUUCCAAGUUUGAAAUAUGACGUUUUAGCUGCCAGUUUUGACAAUUUAGUAUAUAAGCUUACAACUAUUUUGUCUUUUUACACUUUCCAAUUGUAAUAGUAGUAUCAAAGGAAUUGUAACUGUAUUCUACUUAAAUUUAUCUGUUGACAUUUUUUUCUUUCACCUUGAAACAACUGAAAGCCUCCAAGUCUUGAUAGCUAAAGGUGGCCAAAGGGUUGUGUCGGCAUAAACAAAAACCGUGAGGGCGGUACGUUGGUGGGUGAUGCCGUGCCGUACCCAAUUAUUUUUUGUUAAGCUCAGCACGGCUCACGAGUCCACGCGUGUCAUGUUUGGGCCAUACCAAAAAAAGCCUGUCAAAUUUUUGUAUCCUUCAAGCCCACGUGCCACGUGUUUUUUUAAACCCACAUAUUUGGCAUGGUUUUUUAAGCACAUGUAUCUAGCAGGCUUUUUCAAGCUCAUCAGCCCAUUUAAUAAUAAUAACAAUAAUAAUAAUAAUAAUAAUAAUAAUUUUUAUUAACUAUUAAGAGAACAAUUAACAUUUUAUUAUCAGUUUAUCAUAAUUUUGUAACUAUAUAUUUAAAUAUUUAAUUUCACAAUUACCAAUUCAAUUAUAAUACAACAAUAUUAUUUGAACUGCACUGAAGUAAAUUACAACUAAUUUUAUUUGAACUAUUACUAUUAUAAUUGGACUUGAACUCCAUUGAAUGAAAUACAACUUUUUAUUUUAUGUUUUGUGUAUAAAUAAAAAUAAAUAAAAUAUUUCGUUCAUAAUUUUAUUUUUUUGUUAAUAAAUAUGAAAAAUAUUUUAUUCACAAAUCACAAAUGAAACAUAUAUCCAAUAACUAAGUUACGAUUUCAUAAAUGAAAUAUUAAUUGUCAUAAAAUUUUGAUAUAUGAUUUAUAAAAUCGUGAUAUUUAUAAUUUUAUUUAUUAAAAUUAUGAUAUUUAUUUAUUCAUUUAAUAAAUGAUAAAUAAAAAAUAAUUAGAAUUUUUUUAAAUCUAAGACUUAAAUUAAUUUAAUAAAAUAUAUUAAAAAUUUAAUUUUAAAGUAUUUGUAAAAUCAUAACAUUUAUUUUUACUUUUUAUUAAAAAAUUUACUUUAAUAUACUUUGUCUCACAUGCUAUUGAUGGCUCACGGGCCGUGUGCUAGCCCACCAAUGAAACAUACUUAUUACGUGUCUUUUUACGUGUCCUGCUUUUAAGGCGCACGUACCUAAAAAUUUAAGCCCUACCCGACUAUAUGCGUGUCAUGUUGUGCCGUGUGCCUUAUCGAAACGUGCUCGUGCCAUACCAUAUUGUAUGAACAUAUACUGUACUGUACGGACACAUACCAUGCCACGUACUGCCCGGCCCGUUCGCCACCUUUAUUGAUAGCACAACGUUACUUUUCUUAUUAUUUAUACCAAUUCAAUUCUAAAAAGGACAAAAAAAACUUACUCAAUAUAAAGAAAUUAGGCAACUGCUAUCAAAUUUUACACCUACUACCACUCGAGAAAUUUUAGUGGUAGCAGCCAUGGACUUUCUCGGUUCGUCUCAAACAAGUACUGUCGCAGCAAUUUUAAUCACUUUUUUAAUCAUUCUAUACACCUCGUUGUUAGUUUGACGAAAUUUGCUUAGAAAAUACACAAGCAAUAAAAAGAGGGGAGCACCAGAAGCUGAGGGAGCAUGGCCUGUGGUUGGCCAUCUACACCUCUUAGGAGGGCCAGAACCUCCUCACAGGGUGUUGGGCUGCAUGGCUGACAAGUAUGGACCAAUCUUCACAAUCAAGAUGGGCAUAAAUCGAGCAUUAGUUGUGAGUAAUUGGGAGAUGGCUAAAGAGUGUCUUACUACACACGACAAAGUCUUUGCCAGCCGUCCAAAAACUCUAGCCGCGGAGAUUUUAGGCUACAAUUUUUCCAUGUUUGGGUUUAGCCCAUACGACUUUUACUGGCGAGAGACACACAAGAUAGCCACACUUGAGCUUCUCUCGAACUAUCGGCUUGAGAAGCUCAAGCAUGUACGAGAGUACGAGUUGAAGACUUGUUUGAAGGAGUUAUACCAGUUAUGGGACAACAACAAAAGCACUAAUAAGAUGUUGUUGGUAGAGAUGAAGAGAUGGCUUGCAGACAGCAUCCGUAAUGUGGUUUUAAAAAUGAUUGUAGGAAAGGGAUGCAAUUCAAUGGAUAGUGAAGAAUGGAAAGAACUAUUAAGGAGAUUUUUUUAAAUGAGUGGUAAGUUUGUUGUGUCAGAUGCAUUGCCGUUUUUGAUAUGGUUGGAUAUAGGGGGUGAUGAGAGGUCAAUGAAGAAGAUUGCCAAAGAAUUAGACUUUGUUGUUCAAGGAUGGUUAGAAGAGCACAAGAGGAAGAGAGAUUCUCAGGAAAUGAAUAAAGAAGAAGAAGAUUUUAUGUAUGCGAUGCGUUCGAUUUGAGGAGAUACAGAGCAAUAUUAUGGUCGUGAUGUUGAUAAAAUCAAUAAAGCUAUUUGCCUGGUAUUGGGAACCGGACGUCUUUGAGACGACAUAGAACGAAUCCGGAUCUGCUCAAGCAGCAAGUCAAGGGUGCUCAUCUACCCCAAAUGUAAAUGUAGCCCAACAGUAAAAGGAAGGAGGAGGGGUGCCAUCUAUAUCUAUUAAGAGUCGUCUUCAUCCAUGAAGUGCUCGAGAUCAGAGUAAAGUGAAUAGCAUGCCUCUCUGAUAUGUACUAUUUGCGGUCACUACUUUGUUGCUGAUUGUAAGACCUAGUCAAGUGGAGUAAGUUAGCUGUUAGUAGUUUUGUUGCUUUAGAAUAUAACGAAAUAAAUUUCAUGGGGGAAUCGUGGCACAUAGUGCUGCAUUAUCUCCUUAUAUUUUGGUAUUUUUAUUCCUUAUUUCUAGUUAGAUAUUUGUGUUGUAAGCCUUUAAAAAGGCCAGCUCUGAAUUCAAUAAAGGCAUCGAGCCAAUUAAUAUCCAACUUUCUAUCUCUCUUCCUGUUUAAACCUCCGUGAACCUUUUUCUGAAAUUGCUCGUAUCAGUGGUAUCAGAGCACGGUUCCUUUCAUGGACACUCGUGGCAAAACAAAUGCUGAAUUCAAGAAUGAAGUCAACGAAAUCUUAACUCGACAUGAAUCAAACUUUGACUGCCUCAAUAACAACUUCAAUCAAGUUAAUGCAACCCUUCAAACAGUCCUCGCUGAACUACAAGCACUUCGAGUCAACUCUACCACCAACUCAGCUGCUACAGAAGUAAACCCUUUCGAACCAGGAGAAUCGUCACAUCGACCUACCUCAUUUCUGAAUCAGAUUCACACAUCCAAUGCUACUCACAACCACAACCAAGCGCACCUGAAACUGAACUUCCCGACCUUUGGAGGUAGUGAUCCAACUGGUUGGAUUUUUAAAGCGGAACAAUAUUUUGAGUUUAAAGGAAUUAAUCCUCAGCAGCAAGUUCAACUUGCUUCAUUUCAUUUAGAGGGGUUGCAUUACAAUGGUAUCGAUGGUUCACAAAGUUUCGAGGUCCUUCCACAUGGGUAGAAUUCACUCAAGCCAUUCUUCGUCAUUUUGGACCGACGAAUUAUGAUGACCCGUCAGAAGCAUUAGGUCGUCUUAAACAAGUCACCACCGUGGCUGCUUAUCAAGAACAAUUUGAGUAGCUUUCUCACCGUGUGGAUAAUUUGCCUGAGAGUCAUCUCAUUGGAAGCUUCAUUGCAGGGCUCAAAGAUGACGUGCGGCUGGACAUUCACGUUAAGCAACCACACACUCUCUCAGAUGCUAUUAGCAUGGCUCGUUUGAUUGAAGAAAAGAAUAACUUGCAGCGUCGGCCAAGUUUCCCUACCCGUCCUGCAUCCACAACACCACCAUCUAGACUGCAACCGAAUACAACUGCGGGCAUCAUUGGUCCUUCUCCUCCACAGAAGACCACACCUAUGGCAACUCUCUCUCAACUUCUUUUUCGAUGGAUAACUGGGCAGGAAGCCAAAGCCCGCCGAGAAAAAGGUCUUUGUUACUAUUGCGACGAGAAGUACGUGCCCGGACAUCGUUGCGAGCGACCACAACUCUUUAUGUUGGAAGACCUUACAACUGUUGUAGACUCGGCUAAAACUGAGCCUUCUGAUGAUGAUAUCUCUUUUACAUCUUUACCGGAAAUAUCUCUCCACGCUAUGGCAGGAACUACCCACCCACAAACCCUUCGAGUCCUCGGUAAGUUGAAAAAUAGGGACCUCACAGUGCUCAUCGAUGGCGGCAGCACUCACAAUUUUCUUGACCAGUCUGUUGUAACUAAAUGUGGACUUCCAGUGAUCCGAGACAAAACACUUCAAGUAAUGGUCGGGAAUGGAGAGAAGGUUGAUUGUUCUGGUCGUUGCCUAGCGCUUACUUUGGAAAUUCAAGGUCAUCCAAUCCAAGCUGAUUUUUUUGUAUUGCAUGUGGCUGCUUGUCAAGCUGUGCUUGGGGUGCAAUGGCUGGAGACUUUGGGUCCCGUCGAGACGGACUAUCGACAACUCAAAAUGACAUUUCAACAAAAUGGCAAAGUUUGCACUUUCCAGGGCCUUCAACAACCUAACCUGGUUCCUAUGACUACUAAGGAAUUGCUGCAUGUAUCUGGUAUGAGUUUCUUUUUACAAGUAAUCCCUACACAAUACUCCUAUGAAUCAACCCCACAUCCAGCUGACCUUGAAUAUCUCCUUACUGAAUUCUCUCAUGUCUUCUCUACUCCAACAUCUUUACCCCCGCCAAGGACACAUGAUCACCAAAUAACACUUUGACCGAAUCAAGAGCCAAUUAGUGUACGUCCAUAUCAGUACCCCCACUACCAAAAGGCUGAAAUUGAGCAGAUGGUGCAUGAAUUUCUUGACUAUGGUUUGAUUCGUCCUAGUACGAGUCCUUUUUCCUCUCCUGUUUUGUUAGUUAAAAAAGUGGAUGGCACAUGGAGAUUUUGUGUUGACUAUCGUGCUCUCAAUAACAUCACAGUAAAAGACAAAUAUCUUAUACCAGUAAUUGAUGAGUUGCUCGACGAGUUGCAUGGUGCAAAGUACUUCUCCAAAUUGGACCUUCGAUCCGGGUACCAUCAAAUAAGAGUCCGAGAGGAAGAUAUUCACAAAACGGCUUUUCGUACACAUGCAGGCCACUAUGAAUUUGUGGUCAUGCCAUUUGGUCUUACAAAUGCUCCUUCUACCUUUCAGAGUCUUAUGAAUGACUUGUUUCGGCCCUAUCUUCGAAAGUUUGUCUUAGUGUUCUUCGAUGACAUAUUGGUGUACAGUCGAACCUGGACUGAGCAUUUACAAUAUCUUCGCAAUGUACUAGUAAUAUUGUCACAUAACACUUUGUUUACUAAAAAAUCAAAAUUUUGUUUUGGCGUUUUACAGGUUGACUAUUUGGGCCACCUCAUUUCCUUAGAAGGUGUCGCAGUCGACCCCGCAAAAAUCAAGGCUGUUAUGGACUGGCCGAUUCCUUAUUCUUCUCGGGGAGUUCGUGGUUUCCUUGGUUUGGCCGGGUAUUAUAGGAAAUUUAUUCGUGGGUUUGGAGAACUUGCUGCUCCAUUGACACGUUUGUUGACAAAGGAAAGAUUUCUUUGGACUCAGGAAGCAUCCACUGCUUUUGCACAACUUAAGCAUGCCCUUACUUCUCCCCCAGUGCUGCGUCUUCCUGAUUUUACACAACCUUUUGUGAUUGAAAGUGAUGCAAGUAACAAGGGAAUCGGUGCUAUAUUGACGCAACAAAACCAACCAGUAGCAUUUUUUAGUGAAGCACUUAAAGGGUCAGCUUUGGCAUUGUCCAUGUUGAGUGUUAGAAAAUGUAUAUUUAUAAAGGAGAAAAUCGUCAUUUUACAUUUCAAGUCUUACUAACAACCCUUACUUUUAUGUAUUUAAGGUUCUUGUAAUUUAAUUAUGUGUGUUUUAUUUUAAUUAAGUAUUUUGUGUAUUUUAGGGGCAACAUAGUCAUUUCACAAUAAACGAGAGAUCAAACGGCAAAAUUGACAUCACUUUUGAACUCAAGACGGUAGAAAACCUUAGGAGGAACAUAAAAGGAAAAAUGGCAUUGUUCACAUGUACGGUACUGUCUACGUUACUGUUCACGACACUGUUCACAUAGACGGAUCGAUGACGUGGCAUUGACCGAUGAUGUGGCAUUGACUGAUGAGGUGUCAUGAUCCUGUUGGUCUAAAAUUCUUAUGAACUAUUGAUAGUGACGUGGCAGCAUAUUAGUGGACCAAAACUUGCGCGUACGGUACAUGCAUUACACAGGAUUAUUUUCAACCAAAUCGCGUUACUGUUCAAAGCUGGGUCAAACCGUGUUACUGUUCACCCAUGUGGUCAAACCGCGUACUGUUGACUAAUGAUAUGGCGCAAUCCUGAGCGUCCAAACUGUUUUUAAUCCGAUGGCCAUGAUUUACUCAAUGUAUCUAUAAAAAAGGGUUCUUCCCCCCCCUAAUUUGAUAUCUCUGAAUCCAUUUUCGGGAUCCAUUUUCUGUAAUUCCCUCUCCAUCUUGUAUUUUCUACGUAUUUUAAUAAAUUUCCAUUUUACCCCUAGUUCAAUUAUGAGUAGCUAAUUUUCUUUCAAGGUUGGGUUGAAGGUGAAGUCUCAACAUGUGUCAUGGGCUUUAUUUGGUAAAUUUAUUUUCUUUUCCCCUCUAAUUUUUGUGGAUGAUUUGACUUUUCGUCGAUAAAUAAUAAUAAUCUUGUCUAGAUACCGUCUUGGUUUCACCGGCUCUCUAGUACAAGGUUAUUAUUAUUUGGCACGAUAAGCCCUUAGCAUCAUAUUGAUUAUAGUGUGGUUCAUGAGGUGUGGAUUCCCCCCUCAUGAUUUAAUUGGUAUUAAUAAUAAAUAUUUAGCCCAUGAUGCAUGUUGAUACGGAUACAGAUACCCAAGUACGUCAUUUUAAUAGAUUUCUAUUCAAUUUAUUCUCGCCAUUUAAAUUUCAAUUUUAGGAUAAUCUAAAUCAUUUUCACCACAAAUCCAACCACCAAUUUAGAAAAUUAAUUCUACACACAAUUAAAAUCCACCUCCUCGUGGGAUCGACACUCGUCACCAUUAAUCUAUUCUACAAUAGAUUCGUGCACUUGCGAGUUCAAUAAAAUUUACACAACAGUCCACAUAUGAGAAAGAAAUGUUAGCCAUUGUUAAGGCAAUUCGGAAAUGGCGUCCAUAUCUGCUAGGCAAACCUUUCAUCAUCCAAACAGACCAAAGGAGUUUGAAAUAUUUACUUGAGCAACGUAUUACCACUCCUGCUCAAACACGGUGGCUACCAAAACUUUUGGGUUAUGACUACACUAUCCAGUACAAGCGGGGUAAAGAGAAUCAGAGAGCUGAUGCUUUAUCCCGCAUUACAAAUUUUCAUUUUUUCGCAAUUUCCUUGCCCGUUGCUGAUUGGUGGUCUACUCUCCAACAAGAAGUUUCUCAAGAUCCUUUUUAUGCCAAGUUGUCCAGUUCUGAUGAAUCUCAGUGCCUUAAAAGAGGAGGUGUUUGGAUUAAAAAAGGAAAACUUCUAUUGAGUCCUAUUUCUACUCUAGUUCGUGCAAUCUUAUCAGAAGGGCACUCAUCACCAACAGGUGGCCACUUUGGUUACCAUAAGACACUCAGCAGACUCAAAAAGAAUUUUACUUGGCCUGGAAUGCGAACGACAAUCAAGGAAUAUAUACGCGGUUGUGAUAUAUGUCAACGUUGUAAAACAGAAUGUCUACAACCUGCGGGCCUACUUUAACCAUUGCCAGUGCCGGAAAGAAUUUGGACUGCAGUCUCUAUGGAUUUCAUAGAUGGUUUGCCUCCAUCCCAAGGCUAUACUGUUAUCAUGGUCGUUGUUGAUAGAUUGUCAAAAUACAACCACUUUAUUCCUUUAAAGCAUCCUUAUACAGCCUUGACAGUAGCAAAGGCAUUUGUACGGGAAAUUGUUCGCUUAAAUGGUGUGCCAAUCUCUAUUGUCAGUGACCGAGACCGUGUUUUUCUUAGUUCUUUUUGGAAGUCCUUAUUUCAGUUACAAGGCUGCACUCUCUCAAUGAGCUCUAGUUAUCAUCCACAAACGGAUGGACAAACUGAGGUUGUCAAUCAAGUUUUGGAACAGUAUCUACGUUGUUUCACUCAUGACCAGCCUAAAAAGUGGAUUGAUUGGUUGCCUUGGGCUGAGUACAGCUAUAAUACAACCAUUCACUCAUCAACUAAAGUUUCUCCAUUUGAGUUUGUAUAUGGUGUACCUCCUCCCUCAUUGCUAUCCUAUGUUCCCGAUACUACUAAAGUUCAGGCAGUAGAUGAUUUUUUGCGUUCUCGAGAGGAAAUAUUGUGAGACUUACGUCAAAAUGUUAUCAUGGCUCGUGAUCGAAUGAAAUCACAGGCAGACCAACAUCGUCGUGAUAUUGUUUAUGAGGUUGGUGAUUAUGUGUACCUUAAGUUGCAACUGUAUCGUCAACAUUCGGUGAUUUUUCGUAGCUCACUUAAGUUGGCACCACGAUUCUUUGGACUGUACAAAAUUCUUGCUCGUGUAGGGCAUGUUGCUUACCGGCUGCAGCUUCCAGUUGGGUCUCAAAUUCAUGACGUGUUCCAUGUGAGUCUUUUGAAGAAAAGAGUGGGUUCAGUUCAUUCUUCUCCUACUUUGCCUCCUACAAGCGGCGACUUCACCAUUCUUCCACAACCAGAGGCUAUCUUGGAUACUCGCAUUAUUCGUAAAGGCAAAUAUCGUCCCAAAACUGAGAUUCUUGUAAAAUGGGCUGGUGCACCCAAGGAAGAUGCCACCUGGGAGAAUCAAUGGCGUUUUACUCGGCAGUAUCCUGACUUUCUCCUUGCGGACAAGUCGCAUUUUAGGGGGGUGGAUUGAUAUGUGCUAUUUGCGGUCACUACUUUGUUGCUGAUUGUAAGACCUAGUCAAGUGGAGUAAGUUAGCUGUUAGUAGUUUUGUUGCUUUAGAAUAGAACCGAAUAAAUUUCAUGGGGGAAUCGUGGCACAUGGUGCUGCAUUAUCUCCUUAUAUUUGGGUAUUUUUAUUCCUUAUUUCUAGUUAGAUAUUUGUGUUGUAAGCCUUUAAAAAGGCCAGCUCUGAAUUCAAUAAAGGCAUCAAGCUAAUUAAUAUCCAACUUUCUAUCUCUCUUCCUGUCUAAACCUCCGUGAACCUUCUUCUGAAAUUGCUCGUAUCACUCUCUUAACCGAAAUUUUUCUUUUAGGUUUAGUUUAUGGGCGACUCAAUCCCCUCUAGAGUUUGAAAAAUCAAGACCUCUUCUUUUUUAUUUUAUUCUUUUAUUUAUAUUAACCGCACACUAAUGAGGCUCAAACUCAGGUCUUAAGUUGUAGGAAGGUUGUUCCUUAUCAAUGAAAUAAGACUUUGCUCGGACUUCUUCUUUUCACUCAAGAGAUCUAAACAACAGAACUAGUGGUAUCAAUCUCUUAAUUGAAUAUUAUAUGCUUUUAAACCAUUUUACACUUAUAAUCAUUCAAAUAGUUGUUUACAUCAUUCUUCAAGAUGAGAUUUCUAAAUGAAAGCAAUUAAAUCUGCAAGUUGUGAAUUGAUAAUAUUUAUUAUUCUGUUGUCUCCCAAUCAGUCGAUUGGGUAAAAUGGUGAACCAAAAAGUCAAGGAAAUCAUCAUCUGUUCAUUAUUGCCUUAGUCAAUUGGGACCUACAUUUUAGGAUAAGUUUUUGAUAAUAUGUUGGUGGAAUUGAUCUGUCAGUAAAAGCCAAAAGAUACCCAAAAAAAUUGAGUCUUUAAUGGAAUUUAAUUAAGUUGCAUUGUAAAUAAGUGUAAUAUGCAUAUAUAUGAAAGCAUGACAACGUUGUAUACACUACCAAUUUUGCAGGCUCUCAUCUUAGCGGCAACAGACACCACAGCUGUUACAUUGACAUGGAUUAUCUCCCCGCUUCUCAAUCAUCAUGAUAUUCUAAACAAGGCUCGAAAUGAACUAGAUAUUCAGGUGGGCACAAAAAGGCAAGUGAAUGAAUCAGAUAUAAAAAAAUUUAGUUUACUUACAUGCCAUUCUUAAAGAAGCAAUGCGUUUAUAUCCUGCUGCGCCACUCUUUUUUCUACACGAGUCUAUGGAAGAGUGCACAGUAAGU
RNAcentral lists this long non-coding RNA (49698 nucleotides) under Citrus x clementina. Its description in RNAcentral is "Citrus clementina (C. clementina) long non-coding RNA (CCLE_LNC002828)". The record is from RNAcentral. Lineage: Eukaryota; Viridiplantae; Streptophyta; Magnoliopsida; Sapindales; Rutaceae.